RNAcentral lists this long non-coding RNA (83454 nucleotides) under Prunus persica (peach). Lineage: Eukaryota; Viridiplantae; Streptophyta; Magnoliopsida; Rosales; Rosaceae. The record is from RNAcentral.
GAGAACAAGGCGGCAACUCUGACUGGAUUGGACGGAGAAAUGUUCAAGUAUUACAAGAGCUUUAAGGGCAUCUAUCAGUUCGCUCAAAAGGGUAAUGUUAGUGUUGCCAACCUGACGAUUCACUAUGAGAAACGGAAUGCUGAUGUUGAAGCUCCAGAUAGAUUUGUUGGUCUCAUGGUUACCCUCGUCAGGGAUCUUGAUGCUCACUUUGCCAAGGCAUAAUCGAAUAUCAAAAGCAUACAUAUGUUAAUGCGUGCUUUUUCUGGUUAAUAUUAUAAGUAAUGCUUUGUUUUAUGUAAGUUUUUCUUUGUGGCAAGUGCAUGAAGGGAUUUCAUAUGUGAUAUAUUGUGAUGUAUUAGCUAUGUGGGUUAUCACAUACAUAAAAUAAAAUGCGUGGUGUGCUAUAUAUAUAUAUCUCCAGUUCUUGCUCAUCAUUCACAUAUCAAGUACAAAAUAGACUUAAAAAUCAACAAUAUCCAACUGGUAUAUGUUGCGCGCUUGGAUUCAAAGUACUUAAAAGAUCAAAAAAUUUGAAGUAUGUUGCGUGCUUGGAUUCGAAUUUUACAUUGAACACUUAGCCUUGUUGAUGAAAAAGAAACAAGCUAAAAGUAGUAAAAACGUAGUAGAAGCAGCUGGAAGCUCUUUCCUUCAUCAUUUGCACUCUCCUUUUCCCUCUUCAUCUCUCUCCUUCUUUAUCUCUCUGCCCUUCUUCCUUGUGAAUUUGCUGGUUUACUUUAAUAUUAACGAAUCUACAUAAAGAAAAGAAGGUGUUGCUGGAUGCGACGAAUGAAGGAUAGAUUCCACAAAAAAAAAAAGUUUUCACGUUCUUCCAUUCCAUAAGCAACACUGAAAAAUGCUCUAAUAAUUUUUGGACGAAACUCUCAUGACAACUUAAUCCAAAGCGUUCUUCCAUUCCAUAAGCAAUACUGAAAAAUGCCCUAAUAAUGUAUGGACGAAACUCUCAUGACAACUUCAUCCAAAGCAAACACAACUCAACCCAGCCGGCAGUGCAAUAAGCACCCAACCCAACCAGUCAAACCCUAAACCAGCACAGCAUCCUUCCCCUCAAAACCCACGACGUAAGUAACGUAAUUAAAUUCAUCUCUGUUGAUUAAUGGGAAGCGUAGGUCUUGCUUGCUGGAGGAUGGGAACAACACACACACACACACCAUUUCUAUAUUUAAUUAAUUUGGUCAUUAUUCAGUUGAAUAGCCCAUUUACAAAUAAUAAUAAUUUGACAGAUAAUGUGAAUUUGGAAACUAAAUUAUUGAUCUUUUAAAUACAUUAAUUUAUUUUUUUAUAUAAAAAAUAAAUAAAGGCAAGUGCAAAAGGUAUCUAUCAUUCUCGAAGUUUUUUACGCCACCUGCCUUAUUAGUGCAAAAGGUAAUUUUAAAAUUUGGAAAUGGGAGUCGGUGUGACUUUUGAAGAAAGAACGAAAACCCAAAGGGGAAAAAGUUAUACAUUAUUAUAUGCGUACCAUAAAUAAUGCAUGUGUGACUGAUCAAUCGAAGAUCUAAAAUGUUUAUUUUAUUAAAGAGUUGUCGAAUUUGACAAGUGUGGAUCAUCCCUGUCUGCCCAUUUGAUAAUUUCUUAUUGCCAAAUAGUUAAUAAGCAUGGGCUGGGAUAGGUCUGCAUAAUUAGAUUUGAUGAGGAUGAAAGCAAUAAUUGAGUUUUCGUUGAUUUUACAUCUCAGAAAGGUUACUCAUCUCUCGUAGUUUUUGCACUUUUAUAAAUGUGAAUCUUAUAAAGUAUUAUAACUCAUAACCAUUUUUCUUUUGUAGGCUUGAAGAUCUGGCAUUGCAUGCAUGAACACAUUUUCCGAUGUGUAUAUGAAUUGAAGAUCUCGCGUUGCAUGCAUGUACACUAACUAUGAAUUGAGAGAGUUUUUCUUCGGACAGUUGUCCAGCAUUCACUUUACCUAAUCAGGGAUUAGUAAAAUCCAAAUGAAAAAGAUGUGAUCAUUGAAAAGGUAAAUAUUUUUUAUUCUAAAAGUUCAAAUGAUUAGUUGAGAUAUAACCAUAUCAAAUACAAUAUUUUUCCCUAAUAGAAGAUUAGGGCUAAUAUUUGUCCUGCACCCGGUGAUGAACCGAAAGUAAUUGCACUUGUUCAUGGAUGUUGACAGCUAGCAAUAACACUCUUCUUACCAAAAAUAUUUAUAAAAAGAAAAAAGGUCUGUUUUUAUAUAAAAUCAACGACGGUUUUUACAAAAAAAAUCGUCAUCUUUAUAUUAAAAUAAUGACUGUUAUUAAUAAAAUCGUCGUCUUUACAAAUAAACAAUAACAGUGAAAACUCGUCAUAAUUGAUGUCAGUCGAUUUAACAACGGUUUUCAAAACAUCAUAACGACCGUGAAUCCUGUCGUCUAUUUCGUUUUGUUUACUUGAAAACUUGAAAUACCAUGUAAAAGAGCGAUAGGCAAACCUUUAUUUGGUCGUAUAUACAUAUUGCAAUUAGUGGCGGAUUCGGGAUUCAAAAGUCAAAUAGGCGAAACUUACCUUAAAAACUUGACGGUACGAGUGAAUUUUAUGCAUAAAAAUAAAAAGAUACACCUAAUCAGGGAGGACGUAAUGAGCCUUACCCUCAAAUAUGCAUAUCUAUACAUAAAUAAAAGCUUAACAAAAAAAGAAGAAGUAAAUGCAAUGCAACACAAAACAAAACUAUUUAAAUCUAAAACUUUACCCUACGAGGCUUAGAAAUCUUAAAUUCCUCAAUUAUAUCUUCAUUAUCAAUAUUAUUAACAAACUCUCUUUCAAUGUGGAGAAUCAUGCAAUCAGCAAGGAAUUCAUCAGCUAUGGUGCUCCGAAGUCUAUUCUUAAUAAUUCUCAUACAUGAAAAAGCUCGUUCUGUUGUUGCUGUAGAAACAGGAAGAGUCAACACCAAUUGAAUCAACCUAUAAAGCAAAUGAUAGUUUUUUGCCAAAGUUGUUUCCGCCAAUUGUUGACAUAACUGAGGAAGAGUGGUGAGGUCCUUAAAGCAGGGAAGGCGAUGCAUAUCAUUUUGAAAAUACCUCAACUCAAUUUUUAAAGUUUUCAAGUCACUUGGACAGAAAUCAGCGGGAUAAAAUUUCUUAGCAAGUUUACAUAGAUGCCCAAUAGUGAAUGAUUUGAAGGAAUUACAAGGAUCCAAUGCUGAGUUAAGAAUAAGAAGUUCAAUUGUUUGCUUUAGAAAUCUGUCAUUUAACUCCCUCAACAUGCAAUCUAUCACAUCAUUAAAUACAUCAACGCGAUAGUAAUGUUCAACUAUAAUAAAAUCUUUUUGUUGACAAGAACGACGUGUAGCCAUCAUAUAACGAAAACUCAUAUUAGGAACAUCAAUACUGUGUUGUUCACAAAAUGAUACCACACUCAUGAAUAAAUCAUCCCAACCAUGUGCUCUCAUAUCUCAUAACUGUGAUUUUGUGUUUUCAACAAAGUUUAAAGCACUUACAAUAUCUUGAGUUUUUGUUUGAAACACUUGACAAAGAAAGUUGGUCAAUCCCAUAAUUUUAUCCAUUAAAAGAAAUGAAAACACAAACUCAAAAGACAUAAUAGCAAUAUAGUUAUUCUCUGCAUUGCCACGAAAUUGUUGGUUAGGUCCAUAAUCACUGAAUUCCUGGAUAAGUGUUUUAGUCUUUUUAAAUAAACUCAUCAAACUUGUAAUAGAGGCAAAGUGAGAUCCCCAACGAGUGGCUCCAGCUCGUUUCAAACUACGACCUUGAUUAAGUCCUCUACUUGUCUCAAGUUCCCCACAAUCCAACAACUCUUUGAGUUUAGCUUUUUGAAUUAAAUUAGCUCAUUACGGCGCUUAGCAGAAGCACUAACAAAAUUCACAAUGUUAGUCAACAUUGAAUACAACUUUCACAUACUUAUAUUGCUUUUUAUUGUUUUUCUUAAAGGAGAAAGUUUGAGUGGGCUGGGCUAUUGUUUUUGUUAAAGGGAAAAAUUUGAGUGGGUUGAGUUUGAGUAGGGAGAAGAAAUUUGAUUGUAUUGGGUAAUUUUUGGUUUGGCAAAAAAUGGAGUAAGCGGCUGCCUAUUCUGCCCUUAGGGUAGGACCACCCUUGGUGGAUUGAGUUUGAGUAGGCAAAAGAAAUUUGAUUAUAUUGGAUGUUGGGUAAUUUUUGAUUUGGUAAAAAAUGAAUUAGGCCGCUGCCUACCCUGCCCUUAGGAUAGGACCGCCCCUUGCAAUUAUUACGUUAAUAUGAAUUCAUAUAAAAUAUAUUUUCAAUAAUUUAUAUAAAAUAAUUGUGUUGAUGUGUUUCAUGUGAUUCAUGAAGUAUGCAUGUUUCAAGCACUAUAUUUUUAAAGUUAUCCAAUAAAUUAAUAAAUAUUGCACCAUUUAGGUGUCGUCACUCAGACUCUCACUUGUAUUUAAGGGGAGCCCAAAUUAUGUUCAUUAACAUUCUGCCUUGUACACACGUCGAUCGCUACUUAUACUUAAUUCUGAGUAUCAUCACAACAACAACUGAUAGACAUGGCGCCUCUGAAAGGUAAGGUUGAGACUGAAAUAGAAAUUAAGGCACCAGCUGAGAAGUUCUACAACAUCUUCAACAGCCGGGCACACCACGUCCCAAACAUUUCUCCUGGCAGCAUUCAAGGAGUUCAGGUGCAUGAAGGAGACUGGAAAACACAUGGCUCUAUUAAGAGUUGGAAUUACACAGUUGGUAAGGUCAUCUAUAUACAUGUUACAUGUAGCGAGUGUACAUCUUUAAUUCCCUACCUAACAAAAUACAAUUAUGUCUUGUGAAAUAGGGGACGAAGUCGGGGUAUUCAAGGAAAAGGUGGAGUACAACGAUGAGAACAAGUCCAUAACUCUGAAUGGGGUGGAAGGAGAUGUCUUCAAGUAUUUCAAAAGCUUUAAGCCUGUCUAUCAAUUCACUCAAAAGGAUGAAGGCAGCAUUGCGACCUUGUCGAUUGCAUAUGAGAAAUUGAAUGACAAUGUUGCAGCUCCAGACAAGUACGUUGGUUUGAUGGUAAAUAUUGUCAAGGAUCUUGAUGCUCACUUUAUCAAGGCAUGAGGAAAAACAUGCAACGGUGAAAAGAGCUACGUACUGCUUGCUGGUUCAUCGUUAAAGUUCAUGAAUUAUAUUAUCGUGUUAAUUAAUGCGUGCUUUGUUUAAUUACAAGUAGUUAAAAAAUGCUUUGCUAUGUAUUUGUGUCAAGGGGAUGUCAUAUGUGAUAUUGUGAUGUAUUAACUAUGGUUAUCACAUAUAUAAAAUAAAAUGAGUGGUGUGCUGAUGUGUCCAGUUUUUGCUCAUCAUUCGUUAUAUCAACCACAAAUAGCCUUAAUACUUAACAAUUAUAACAAGUUACAACCCAACUGGUUUGGACGAAAAUGUUCAAUUAACUAUUUACCCCAAAAGAUAAAAACUAAAAAUAUUUAAUGUGAUAGGAACUUCCAUUACUUCGGUUUGCCAAAAUACAAUUGAUGUUUCAACAAAAGAAAAGAUUGAUUGAUGUUAUAGUCUGAUAACUAUGGUUAUCACAUAUACAAAAUAACAUGAGUGGUGUGAUGCGUCCAGUUUUUGCUCACCAUUCGUUAUAUCAAACUACAAAUAGCCUUAAUACUUAACAAUUGAAAAACAUUGAAAAAAAAAGAUUGGGGAUAAUUAUUGGACAAAGCCAAAGCUGAAUUGCGGAGAAGUCUUCCAAUUUUAGUUUGCAGUUUCCAUCUAAUGCAUUUUUUAUUUGCUUCAUGGUGUGACUGGCACUCAAAUAGAGCCUCCAUAAGUUCUAAGACUCGGUUGAAAUAUCCCAUUUUGCAUGUAAUGUCUACAACACAUUGUGGCGUUAAUUAGUUGGAUUGAUCUAAGUUUUUGUGUACUCCCAAACAGUCAUGAGUUUAAAUUCUUAAUUGUAAUUGUGUGUGUAAGUUUCCCCCUCUCCAAUGGCAGAGUCAGAAAAUCUAUCAAAAGAGGUCAACCUCAAAUGACAAGAUUAACACAAAAAAAAAAAAAAAAAAUCAUCUGAUAAUAAAAUCCUUUGUAUUAAUUUCUAUAUCAUUCCAAAAUAUUUACAACAGAGCAUAGGUUGUACAUCUUCAAUUUGAAUUGUCAUGCUUUUGAGUUUGUUUUCUAGGGUAAGAUGUCAUGCUUUUAGAUUUAGGUAAGUAGGUUAAUAAUUAUUAAGUUAUUACAAAUAAAGAAAUAAUUAAAAGGGUAAGUAGCAUAAGUUUGGGACAUGGGACACAAAAUAUUUCAUCUUUAUUUUUAUAGUUUUUUCGCCAAGUAAGAUGGUGAGAAGGGUCAAAUUUCAGAAAUACUGUAUAAAAAAAUCAAGUACAAACAUGUAAAAGAUCAAAUAUGCAAAACAUGAGAAGGGUCAUUUGACCACUGUGUUGAUGUGAGUCUCCUAAUUAAUCAAUGAGAUUUUAUUUCCUUGAUUAAUUAAGGAAUUUACUUUUUUAUUUUAUAUAGUUAAUUGUAUAAUUAGGAGAUACUAUCCUAAUUGAUUACUGUAUCUAUUUCCUUGUAAAACACUCAUGUAAAUUCAUAUAUACCUCCUUAUGGAGAAGAAUAAAACUUAACAUAAAGUUUUCAAACUAUAUUCAUAUUUUAGCAUGAUAUCAGAGGAAUCGAUCAUAGGUUGUCUCUAAACCUUCAUAUAAUUUCUCAUAUUCAAAUCCAAAACCCUAAAUCAAAUUCCUCACAACCAAAUCCCUCAACUCUAAAGUCCUCAAAUCCUCUUAUCAAAAUUCCUAAACACAUACCCUCAAACCUCUCAAAUCAAAUUCCUAUAUAAAAUUCAUACGUAAUAUUCCUCAAAUCAUAUUCCUUCAAUCAAAUUCCCCAAUCAAAUUCCUCUCAUUCUCAUAUUACAUCUUACUUUCGCUGAAUUGUCAGGACCCCCUACGAUUCUGUCCCUUAUUGUAGACUCACAUAAGCAUGCGAUCAAUCCUACUAACCCGACUACCCGGACUCGUGCUUCUAUCGCCAUCCCGAAAGGUUUUGGUUUUCAUACGUACUCUCAAAAAUCCGCAUGGAUUAUUGACUUGGGUGCUACGGAUCACAUGACAUUUGAUCCUGGCCAACUUAUUAGUCAUAAAUCAUUCACUCUAUCGGUGGUGUCUAAUGCUAAUGGUACCUCUUCCUCUAUGGUUGGGGAGAGCUCUCUAUCUCUCUCUACUUCCCUACAUCUGGAUUCUGUAUUAUGUACCAUCCCACAUCUACUAACGGAGAGGGAGUGAUGUGCCUUAUAUGUACAUGCCCACCUCCAUCUAGCACGAGGCAUUUUGGGAGCUCAUUGGCUUCGGAGUCAUGAGAACUCCGAAGUUAAGCGACUUGGGGCUAGAGCAAUCCCAGAAUGGGUGACCCACUGAGAAGUUGCUCGUGACAAUUAAUUGUUCCAUCCUUGGACCACAACUUAUUGUCUGUUGCACAACUUACUACUACUCUAGGGUGUACUGUAAUAUUUUGGUCGAAUGAUUGUGUUUUUCAAGACAUCCUCAUGGGAAAGACGAUUGGUUAUGGUACUCGGUGGGGCAAACUGUAACACCCCGACUCCAAAUUAAAUUCCCUAUUUAAAUUAUUUAAUUUAAUUACAUAUGAAAUUACGAAUUUACCCUUGGGGUAGGGGUAUUUUGGUUAUUUUCUUAUACAAAGAGAUUUUGGGGGUAACAAAUGGUAUUUUUAGGUAGAUCGUACUGAGAUGAGUCUGUAGACACGUAGUGGACUCGAAUCGGAGUUGUAACGAAGAAGUUACGAUCAAAACAAGUUCAAUGGUAUAACCGUAAUUUCCUCGAAGUUGGUUUGAUAAAAAUCUGAUUUUUGUCUCUCUCUCUCUCUCUCUCUCUCUCUCUCUCUCUCUCUCUCUCUCUCUCUCUCUCUCUCUCUCCAGUGCGAAUCCCCCUUCCGCGUCAAACAACAGCAGCGGUUUUUCCACCACCAUUGCUGCCACACGCCACCAUUUGAGGUGGCACUAGUCCUAAAACGACCGGCUGGUCUUCCUCUUUCAACCCUAGCCAAGCCCCGCUACCAGCAGCCGCGCGAUUCUCCAGAAUCUACAGAAAUAGCGUCGGUUUUUCUAAAAAUUUAAAUCGCUCAUUCUCUCUCAAUUCUCCACCAAUUUUGUCGUGUAAGGUAUAGAUUUCCACCUAUUGUCCAUGAUCUAGCUGAUGGUUAGGUAUGAAUUUAUCAAUUUUGAGCCUACGUAGUUUGAUUUUCGAAUUGGAUUUCGGCCAAUUUUGGGAUCACGAUUUUAGCCACUUCCGGUCACUUUUUGGAGUAGGCCCAAGAACAAAAGUGACUCUAAAUAGGGUGUUAUACCUAGAGUAGGAGUCUUGAGCCGUAAUUUUGAAUAUUUCUGGUAAAUCAUUAUCGCUUUGGACACCCACGCACUGUUGGUACGUGUGGCGCGCGUGGGCAAUGUAGCAAAAUGGGCAUUAUGUCCCGAUGUGAUCUCCUGGUACUCACGAGCGCGUAAGUACUUUCGGAUUCCAAUUUGAUUAACGUUUGAACAUCGAACGAAUUUCGCCUAUUGUGCAUUAUCACGGUUCGAUAUGUUCGAAUUGUUGGAUCGUCUCAAAUUUAAUAUAUGUUACUCUAGACUUUCCUAGGAUCGUGUAAGAAUUCGCAGAUCAUGAAUCGGAGUCCCGGAUGUUCCGAUUCAAUAACUUAAAGUUUGCAUUUUACGAUAAACGUCCGAUCGUGAGCGAUCAAACCGUCCGUUUUGGACCAAAUUUACAAGACGUGUGUUCUAAACCUUGUGAACCUUUAGGAACUUAUUGUCUCGUUCCUCAUACACUCACUAGAAACCCUGGAAACUAGGAUUUUAAUUCAAUGUUAUCGUUCAAAACGCUUUGUGUUAAUCUCGUAUUCGUAUUCUGAAAUAGGUACUCCGACCACGUAUACGCAGCAGGCGGGACCCUCUCAGGGUCAAGUAGCGUGGGACUACCUGUGAGUGGACUUUGUUUUCAAAUCUUAUGCAUGAUUUUAUGAUGGGAGAAAGUAUGCAUAGUGUUUUAAUGGUGUAUUGGAUAUAUUAUUUAUUCAAUUGUUGAAAUUGAUAUUUUUAUGACGCAUUGGCAAUAUAUUUUGGGUUUUGACAUAUUUGAGUAUCUUGAGUAUGUAUAUAUGGAUUUUGAGAAAUUCUAUCUAUAAUUGUCUAUGUGUGGGGUAUUUGGGUUGUUGAGAUGAGAUUGUAGAAAGAAUUGAGUAUAGAAUGUCAAUUUGGAAUCCUAUAAGCACUACCCUAUGUACCUCCCUGAAUUUGGAACUUGGAUACGGAAACUUGAGAUACUUGGAAAUGUUGGAACCCGGGGCAUCCUUGACGGGGUGUUGCUGUGGACCCUUGAUUGGGUAGUUUGCGCGCGUAGGACUGGUCACAGACGUACCAGUUUUGAAGGUGUCGGCCGCACGUGCUGGCUGAGAGUUAGUCCCCUAGUUGGACGGCUCAUUCCCUAGCCACAUGGUCAAUUGAUGAAUUAUUUUAUGUGGGCUCUUCCAUGUGGACUAGUCAAACAAUCCCCCGGUUGGAUUGUUUUCCCGGUACAACUAGGUGAUUGUCAUAUUUAUAUUAUAUAUAUAUAUACAACUAUUCAUUUGUUCUUGUUUCUCGAUGAGGAUACUUCCUUACCGGUCGUGCCAAUGGGUACGCUUUCAAGAGUUUAGUUUUUGGGACUUAUUAUAUUUAAGUGGUGGGUUUGUAAAGUGUUCUUUAUGGAUUUCAGACUUGGCAUCCGGUAUUGAUUUAACUUGAUAUGUAUAUACUUGACUAUGAUGGUUUUGGGAUGCAUUUGGAUUUCUUUCAUGGUUUUCUAAAUGGUGGGGGUUAUAUUAUGUUGGUUUACACUGAACUGAACUUUAUUUUUGUCCACUCACAGUUUUCUGUUUUGCGCCCCCCAGCCAGUAGUUGAUUGAGCUCCACAGCCGAGCCGGAUUGUGUGCUUCUAAAUCUUGAGUCUUCGUAGGACUCUUUCAUCAUGUUAUUCCCGUUGAACUUUGUUUUUGUUGUAAUCAAAUUUUCUUAGAUAUGCUCUGUUAUCGCCCGUGCUAGGGUUUGAUUUUUGAGGCCGGAGGCCUUUGUUGUAAACUGUUUAUUCGCCUUAAAGCAUGUUGCUGGUUGGGAUAUCAAAUUGUGAAUUUUGAGCAGGUUGAAAUUUGGGAAAUGUUCAAUUUGCAGGGGCGACUCUGUCAAAAUUUUGGUAGGAAGUCUCUGUCUUUAGUAAGUGGGCCCGACAUCUGGGUGAUAUCGAAAAUAAGUGGGCCCGACAUCAGAGGAAAUCCGGGGUGUGUCCUGUCACAAACUCUACUACUUGGACUGGGCGCCGGAUAGUGUGACCAAGAUUGGUCAAGCUUUCACAACUAGUGGAACUCAUUCUGAGGGGGAGAGAGAUAAAGUUUGGUUAUGGCAUAAACGUCUUGGGCAUGCCUUGUUCUGUUAUCUUAAGAAGUUGUUUCCAUAAUUAUUUUUCAGUCUUGAUGUUCCUAACUUCCAGUCUGAUAUGUGUGAAUUGACUAAGAGCCAUCGUGUCCCGUUCCCAUUAAGUUCACAUAAAAGUUUGAUUCCGUUUUCUCUUAUUCAUUCUGAUAUUCGGGGACCUGCUAAAAUUGCCACUCUAGUAGGAGCCCGAUGGUUUGUCACGUUUAUAGAUGAUUGCACACGCAUGAUUUGAGUUUCCCAUCUCAAAACUAAAGAGGAAGUAAGUUUCAGGUUUCAACAGUUCCAUCAAAUAGUGUUUCAUGCUAGAAUUUAGGUUUUUCGUUCUGACAAUGGAGAAGAAUUUCUUAACCAUGAUCUUAACCAAUUCUUACAAGAUCAUGACAUCAUACAUCAAUGCUUAUGCCCUUACACUCCCUAAUAGAAUGGAGUGGCUAAAAGAAAGAACAUACAUUUCUUGGAAGUAGUUCAUGCCUCUCUCUUUGGCGCCAAUAUGCGUCGAUCUUUUUGGGGAGAAUCCAUCGUCUCUGUAGCAUACCUCAUCAAUCGGAUUCUCUCUAGUAUCAUAAAUUUUCAAACACCACUUCAAACACUUCACCACCAUAUCCAAAUACCAACCUGAAACCCCGGAUUUUCUGCUGUGUUGUAUUUGUCCACUUACAUGAUCACCAACGAAGCAAAUUGGAUCUUUGAGCCAAAAAGUGUGUUUUCAUUAGCUAUGUACCUCAUUAGAUAUGAUACCGGUGUUAUCAUCCUCCUAGUCAGAAUGUCUAUACCUCCAUGGAUGUUGUGUUCCGGGAACACGACUUAUAUUUUUCAGCAGCACAUGAGGAGAAUCGAGAAUCCACCACUCCUCAAAUUCUCUAUUUUUCCCCCCAAGAAGUCACUAUACUUCAAAACAACCGGUCACCCUCAUUUAGCUCUUCGAGCAUGGAGAAUUUGCUUCAAAAUGACCUGUUGUAAGAGGAAAGCGACCGGUCACCCCCUUAGUUCUUCAAACACGAAGAAUCUGCUUCAAAACUACAUGUCGCCAGAAAAUAGUGACUAGUCAUAAGAGGAAAAUGAUUAGUUGUCUCCAUGCUGUCAAACUCAGUAGGAGGAAAUUGAACCGUUUUUAAAAAAUGAGAUUUUGCCAGCUCCAAAGAAUUCUUCAACUCCAGUACCACACCAAUCACCUGUUGAGGAAGUCAAUUAGAUACCAUCUUUCCCUGAAACUGAUAACACUAAUGAAAUAUCCCACGAUGAUUUGAUUUCAGAAGGUACAAAGCCUACAUAUCAGCUUCUAGAAAGGAAGAACCGUGACAAACAUCGAAUACAAUAUGAAGCAUAUCUUAAAGCCAAAGGAAAAUACCCUAUCAAUAAUUAUAUAUCUUUUAGCAGAUUAACAGAGGCAUGUGUGCACUUUGUGAAACAGUUGACUGACAUAUCUGUCCUCAACAGUGUGACUGAAGCACUAGAAGACCCCAAAUGGAAAAAAGCCAUGAAUGAAGAAAUGCGAGCCCUCCAAAAGAAUGUCACAUGGGAACUCGUGCUCUUACAUCGUAGAAAGAAGACAGUAGGAUGCAUGUGGAUUUAUACUGUGAAAUUCAAAGCAGAUGGAUCCAUUGAAAAAUAUAAAGCUAGAUUAGUGGCAAAUGGGUACACAGAGAGAUAUGAGAUAAACUAACAGGAGACCUUUGCCCCAGUAGUCAAGAUUAGCACUAUCAAAGUCCUAUUAUCUCUAGCAGCAAAUCUCGAUUGACCAUUACAUUAGUUUGAUGUCAAAAAUGCAUUCUUACAUGGAGACUUGGAAGAAGAAGUAUAUAUGGACCUACCACCAGGAUGUAAUUUAGCUCGUGACAAGAAGAAUCAUGUUUGCAAGCUCAAAAAGUUAUUAUAUGGAUUAAAGCAAUAUCUUAGAGCAUGGUUUGACAAAUUUACUAAAUCUAUGAAGAAUUUUGGAUAUACACAGAGUAAUUCAGAUCACACCCUAUUCGUGAAGUGUGAUGGAAGAAGACUUACUGCAUUGAUUGUUUAUGUAGAUAAUAUAGUCGUAACUGGAAACGACAUCGGAGAGCAACUAAAGCUGCAAAAGUAUUUGUCUCGGGAAUUUGAGAUGAAAGAUUUAGGUGAUCUGAAGUACUUUCUUGGAAUUGAGGUAGUAAGGUCAAAUACUGGUAUAUUUCUGUCUCAAAGGAAGUAUGUAAUGGAUCUACUCACUGAAACAGGAAUGCUUGGGUGUAAGCCGGUUGACACAUCUAUUGAGAUGAAUAACAAGUUGUGUGAAGACAUGGACCAAUAACCAUCUAAUAAGGAACAGUACCAACGCUUCAUUAGAAGGUUGAUAUACCUGAUACACACAAGACAAGAUAUUGCAUAUGAUGUGAGUGUGGUUAGUCAAUUUAUGCAUUCACCCAGUGUUUUUCAUAAGAAUGCAGUUGAUCGGAUCUUAAGAUACUUAAAGUCAGCCCCUGGGAAAGGAUUAAUGUUCUCAAAAAAUGGAGAUCUUGAAGUUGUUGAAUAUACAUAUGCUGAUUGGGCUGGUUCCAUUACAGAUAGACGAUCUACUUAUGGUUACUUUACAUUCGUAGGAGGUAACCUAGUCACUUGGCGGAGUAAAAAAUAAAAUGUGGUUUCUCGGUCUAGUGUAGAAGCAGAGUAUCGAGGAAUGGCCCAAAGAGUUUGUGAAUUAUUAUGGAUUAGAAAACUCUUGACAGAAUUGGGCUUUGAGCUAGAAAAUCCACUAGAGUUGCAUUGUGACAACAAGUUAGCUAUCGAUAUUGCCCAUAAUCCAGUUCAACAUGAUUGAACCAAACAUGUUGAGGUGGAUAGACAUUUCAUCAAGGAAAAAAUUGAAAAUAAGAUCAUCAACCUACCAUUUGUAAAAUCAAAAGAUCAAUUGGCAGAUGUCUUAACAAAAGCUGUUUGUGGAAGAGUGUUUCAUGACUCAAUUACUAAGUUGGGCAUUGGUGACAUAUAUGCACCAACUUGAGGAGGAGUGUUGACGUGAGUCUCCUAAUUAAUCAAGGAGAUUUAUUUCCUUGAUUCUCAUUGAUUAAUUAAGGGAUUUACUUUCGUAUUUUAUAUAGUUAACAAAUCAUUGUAUAAUUAGGAGAUACUAUUCUAAUUGAUUAUUGUAUCUAUUUUUUUAUAAAGCACUCAUGUAAACUCCUAUAUAUAUCUCUUUAUGGACAAGAAUAAAACUUAACCUAAAGUAUUCAAACCAUAUUCAUAUUUUAGCACACUGUGAGCCUUAAUUGGCUCCGCCCACGCCCCUUUCCUUCCUAACUUUGACCCAAAAAAAAACAUACGAAUAUUAAAUUCUACGUUCUCAAAGUGGGUUAGUUCCAUGAAUCAAGUUCACUGAUAUACUCUAACUAAAUUAAGAAAUUAAAUUUGGUACGGUUUUGUUUGGGAUCCAAAAUUUAAAUUUGAUAGGUAUAGAUAGUACAUGUAUACCUACCAUGUUAACCAUUCUUAACCAAUUUAAUAAAUUUGAGGACUCAAAUUAUGAGUCUGUAUUGUAACAACCCGAUCCUAAAUUAAUAGUUAAACAUUAAAUUAUUCAAGGAAAAGACAAUUUUACCUUGGGAAUAUUGAAAUGAUUUAAGGGUUGACUUUUUAUUCGGGGGAGAUUAAAUUAUUAAAAUAAGAGAAAAUAAAUUGAAAUAAACAAUAAAAUAAAAUGAUUUGAAUUAAUUAAGGUUUUUGAAAAUUAAAGAUAUUAUUUAAUAUAAAAAGGGGUAAAAAGGUCAUUUUAAGUUCGAGAAGGAAUUUGGAAAUUCAAAUAAGACUGUUGCAUAGAGCACGUCGAGACGAGUCCUUAGACACGUAGUGGGCUUGAAUCGGAGUUGUAACGAAGAAAUGGCGAUCAAGAAUAGGCCAGUGGCAUAAUCGUAAAUAUUUCGAAGUUCAGUUUUUUAAAAACCCAGAAUUUCUUCACUUGGGCAGCCCGACCAGCCAAAUUCGGAUCGUGAUUUCUCCUAACCCCCGCCAUUGUUUCAAGCAAGACCGGUCCCAGAUGAACCACCACAUUUCUCUUUUCUAGUUCCAGCCCUUCGCCGCCUCAAUCUACCGUCGUAAUCGUCAGAAUCAGCCACGAAACAGACAGUUUUGGAUAGAUUUUUCUUAAACUUUCGCCGGCUGUUUCUCCCUCCUCUGGCCACCAAACAGGUUAAAUAAGGUAUUCUUUUCCACCUAUUUUUCGAGCUCUAGCUGAUGGUUGGGUAGGAUUUGAUCGAUUUGUAGCAUAGAUAACCCGAAAUACGAAUUGAAAUUUGGCCGAUUUUCAAAUUGAAAUUUCGGCAACUUCCGACCAUUUUUCGGGGUAGGUCCAAGAACAAAAGUGGUUCCAAAUGGGGUUUUACACCUAGGGUAGGAAUUUGGGCAGGCGUUGUGGCAUUUUUCGGCCACUGGAAUUUACUCACGACAUCCACGCGCUGCCGGCGCUUGCGGCGGCGCGUGGACCAGCCUUUGGACCGGCUUAGGGUUUCAGAAUGAUCUCCUGGUCCUCGUGAGCGUGUAGGUACUUUUGAAUUUCAAUUCAGACAACAUUUGAACACCGAAACGGAUCUCGCUUAUUGUGCGAUUUCUGGGUUUGAUACGUUUGAACCAUUGGAUCAUAGUCAAUUUCAUAUAUGUUAAUCUAGAUAAUUCCAGGAUCGAUAGGACUCGACGGAUCGUAAAAUGGAGUCCUGGAUACUCCGAAAAUGCCAACCCUAGGGCUAGGUUUAUAGUAAUUAUCCGAUUGGGCGAUCAUGGGUAACCCGACCUUUCGGUCAAGACCAAACUCUCGGGACAUGUGUCCUUGGCACAUUGGAACCUUUAGGGACUCCCGAAUUUGUGAUGGGAGGUUAUGGGCCCCGCGGGCUCGGUUGAUCAAGUUUAGGCAUUUGACCCCUCGGUUGACCAUGGGUCUUCUGAGGUAGUUUUAUCCUUCGAGAAAUGUUAGAACGACGGUGUAAACGGGUCCUGAUCGAAGACUGAGUCAUUAGGAUCAUAUCAUGGUUUUUCAAACCCACCACAAGGGUAUCCCGUAGUUGCUUUGAAAUAGUGUCAUUUAUAUAUAAUGUCCCAUGUGUUUCGGGGACUCCUGAAUUGUGUGGUGAGAGGAAUGCGGCUCAGGCUGACUAAUGGUCCCCUGAGGCUUACGAGGAUUGCACUCGAAUAGCAGUGAUAUCUCCGAGGCCUACGAGGAUUGCGGCUUGGAUAGAAGUGGUAUCUUCGAGGCCUGCAAGGAUUUGCUGCUCCGAUAGAAGUGGUAUCUCCGAGGCCUGCGAGGAUUGCGGCUCGAGUGGACUUGGUGUCUCUGAGGCCUGUGAGGAUGGAAUUGACGAAUCAGGAAUGGGGGUACGCCUAGGUGGAGAGAAUUUCAGUUUUGAGAUGUUCUUAAACUAAAAUAGAAGGAGUUCAGUGCAUGACAUAUUUAUAUUCAGUAUAUGAUUGAUACGAGUAUUGGGAAGUUACAAAGUAUUGCUUUAGAGUUGUGAAUACGAUUGAGUAUAACACACACAUGAGAAUUCAGUUUGAUUUGCAAAACACAUGGCAAUAUGAUGAAUGAAUAAGAUAUUCAAUUACAUUAUUAAAGGGAAAGAACUACCUGUGGCUUGAUCCCUCAGUAGGAGUACGUAGGCAGUCUAAUGUUAGAAGGUGCAGCCACGAGUUGGAGUCUUUGAGAUUGCUAAUGUACUAAUGGAUAUUUUGAAAGUUGAGAUGAACUUUAUUAGUAGAAUGAUUUAUUUGAUUGGUUGAGGCCAAAGGCCAGAAUGAUAUGAUAUUUGAUUUCUUGGAUAUAAUUUAAUGUUUGCUGAACAGUUGGGUUAUAUAUGUAUAUGCUUAUUUGAUAGGUGGAAGUUUUGGGGAAAUGAUCAAUUUACAGAGGAGACUUUGUCGAAUUUUCGGCAGAAGUCAAACUUAAGGAAAUUUGAUUUCUAGUUAGAAGGGCAAUUUGGUCAUUUGUGCCUGAUAUUUGUCAGGUUUCGGACACACACAGGGUUCGGCUUAGAUUCCAAAGUGAAAUUUGAGUCGGGUCCUAUCAUGUAUGGUUGGAGGAAAAAUAUUUUAAAUCCGGACAAUACAUGAAUAAUUAUAUUUUAAAGAGUGAAAAUUUGAGUUUAGUCCCAUCAUAGUUGGAGAUGACCUUACUUGUCUUCUCCGCACAUAUUGUGAAUCACAAUUUUUGUGGAAUCCCUUCUAUCAAUGGUAACACUGACAAAUCUCGAAAUACACCAACCCAGUUAUUAAACUACUCGACUAAACUGUUCGACUUCUCCCCAUAAUGCAUUCCUUUAAAAAAUGCGUUGGCAUAGUGAUCUCUAGACAAAUCAGAUAUAAAUGUCUUCACUUUCAAACUCCCGACAAUCACCAACUCAUAUAUUGCUACUUUAAACUCUUCCUCUGUAACAGCAUAUGCUCAUCUACUAAAUAGAUUGAUAACAUGGUCUUGGAGCAGUUUCCCAUAACUUGACUUCGGGUACUUUGAUAUCAAAUUUUGUUUGAGGUGAUAGUAACAGUAGGAAUGAGGCCAUCCAGGAAACACAGCCCCCAUUGCAUUUAACAAACUUUGAUUACAGCCCAAGAAAAAAGUCACCAUUCUCCCCAUCGGUGGCAAUAUAGCAACCAAAUGUUGAAGAAACCAAGUCCAACUCUCCUCUGUCUCAGAAUCAAUAACUAAAACAAAACAAAAGGCACAAGUAUAAGCAACAAACGGAAACUGCAGUGCAUUCUAUGAAAACAAAUCUUCUCAAAUUUGAAAGGAAACCAAAAGGCAAAUCCAUGAUCAAAGUACAAAAACUAAGUUCAAAAUACAUAGAAGUCCAUGAGCGGGUGUAACAUUCCCACAGACUUGCAAAUACUAUUCUGAAAUUGAAUUAUGAAACAAGAAACUACAACAAAUGGAAACCGCAGUGCAGUUUAUGAAAACAAAUCUGCUCAAGUGUGAAAAGAAAACUAAAGGAAAAGCCAUGAUCAAAGUACUAAAGCUAAGUUCAAAAGACAUUUAAGUCCAUGAGCAGUUGUAACAUUCUCAUAGACUUGCAAAAAAUUAUUCGAAAAUCGAAUUAUAAAACAAGAAACUGCACUGUAGUUUAUGCUCAAAAACUCCAACAAACGGAAUUUGCAAUGUAGUUUAUGAAUGCUCAAAGAACAAUUGACAACACACAAACAAUAUUACACAAAACAGUAAACAUAAUCUGCAAUGCAAAGUACACAAAAUGCCAGCAAUAUUACACAAAACAGUAGUGCAGAUUAAACAAAAAUCCAAUACAGUGCAAUAACUACACCUUGAUUCCCAUUCUUGCCAGAAGCACAAAAAAGAUGCCCCUUGUACUUGCUCUUAAAAAAUAUAGCAUCAGUGAACAACAAAGGGAUGCAAUAUUGAAAUCUAGCAAUUAAAUAGCCAAAUGAUACAAAAAAUGGGCUAAAUCGAUUAAUUCCAUCUUCACUCGCAUAGAGAACCACCGUUAGUUUCCUUAAAGGCAUCCAUGUACCACACUAACUCGUUGAAGGACUUCGACUCAUCACCAUGAACGUCCAGUUUUGCUAACUCUUAGAUACUGUAAUAAUCUUUGAACUCGUUUAUAGUCUCAACUAGUUCAGCUCUAGUUUUGCAUGAAUUAUGUCAACAAAGAGAGAGGACUCCACAUGAGACCUCAUCAUCUUAUUCUUUGAUUCUUGUAUCUGACCCGCACAUGUAUGCACAUUAUUUAAUGUCCGAAUUACAAAACAACCAGUAGCUUCACACCAAGACGCAUAAACAUGCCAACUACAACCCUCCAACUUCUUAUUUCAACAAACAUCAAUCACUUGCCUCUUGUCAUUGCCGGCAUAGAAAAAAUUAAAUCCUACUUCAAGAGCAUACUUGCACAAUUUUAACCGGAAGUCCUCUACACCACCAUCAAACUUCUGCCCUACAUGAUGUAUGUAGUCUCCCAUUCAUUUGACAACAAAGGCUUAGAACUGGCUCUCUUUGAUCUACCCAAAAAUUCAUUUCUGUCUUCAACAGUAUUAGAACACGAUGACUCACCCUUUUCACAUGCUAUCAACUCCUUAUUUCCACAAAAAUCACCAUUAUCCUCACUGCUCCCGCAUAAAUCCUUAACUAAAAUAUCCACACUCUUCGCAUUUGAUAUCGCCAAAUAUGCCAUCAUCAUGUCUAAAUCACUAUUCGUUUCUGGUAAACAACUCGAAUAACCGAGCAGCAAAUACCGUAACGUGAAAAUACCAUAACCAUGGAUGACUUUGCUGAAACUGAAAACAUAAUGGUUUCCAACUUCUAUGUGCACUUGGCUAUGCCACAAACCUCCAUUAGCCUUGAAAAUGCAAACAAAACAACAAACAAAAACAUAAAACAAUUUAAAUCAGUAAAUAACAUAGAUGAGCAAUUUUAACAUUCCCAUAGACUUGCAAAUAUUAGUCUGAAAUCGAAUUAUGAAACAAGACACUGCAAUGCAGUUUCUAGUAAAAAACUGCAACAAAUGGAAAUUGUAGUGAAGUUUAUGACAACAAAUCUGCUCAAGUAUAAAAAGAAACCAAAAGGCAAAGCCAUGAUAAAAGUACUAAAGCUAAGUUCAAAACACAAUUAAGUCCAUAAACAGUUGUAACAUUCUCACAGACUAGCAAAAAUUAUUUUGAAAUCGAAAUAUGGAAUAGGAAAAUACACUGCAGUUUCUGAUAAAAAAAAUGAAAUAAACGGAAACUGCAGUGCAGCUUAUGGGAAAACAUAUGCUCAAAUUUGAAUAAAAAUCAAAAGGAAAAUCCAUGAUAAAAGUACUAAAACUAAGUUCAAAACACAUUGAAGUCCAUAAGCAAUUGUAACAUUCCCAUAUACUUGCAAUGCAGUUUAUAAAACAAGAAACUCAAAAAUUGCAACAAACAGAAACGGCAAUGUAGUUUAUGGUAGAAAAUCAAAAAACUUCGAAUAGAAACCAGAAAGAAAAGCCACGAUCAAAGUACUAAAACUAAAUUCCGAAAACAUAUAAGUCGAUAUAAAUGAAAAAAGGUUCUCAAGUACUCAUACCUCAACACCUAGGACUGCCAAAAAUCUCCCCAACCAAAUAGCUGCUCAAAAUCAAAUCUGAUCACAAAACGAAGAAGAUACAAAAUGGCAUGCACAAAAUCGCGCCACAAAACUGAGCUCGAAAUAGGAGAACUAAGAUCGAACCAGAGCACAGAAAUCACACGCCAAAACAAACCUUGAUUCUGCAUGCAAAAGAAAAAUUACACCCAAAACAUAAAGAUCAAUCUAAAUAGCACAAAACAUAAUCAGAAUAAAACAGAAAAAUGAAGAAAAUCGAACAAAAACCUACCAGCAAAUUGAAGCUCCAAUCGCAGCUAAACGAACUAGAGCUCCAAAACGUCAAACUGAACGAAAACGAAAGAGAAAAGUUCAAAUCACGCGUAAUUUAAAUAGACAGGUGUAAAAAAGUCAUUUACUUUGCAAGUUUCAGAGUUAGGCCAGGCUUUUUAAGAAGAAAGGUAGCAUUGUCUUUUCAGUUAUUAUUUUAAGCUGGCCCAACGAAUCUGGACCUCAUCUUUGGCCUAGUCCAAAAUAACAAUUCUUUCCUAGGUAUUAACCUAAACAAAAAUACCCAAUAUCUCAAAUACUAAUUAGUAAAGUUACUUAUGUCUAAUACCUCAUUUUUCUUAAAAUAAAAUAAGUAGUUUGAUGUGUCUAGUUUUUGCUCACCAUUCGUUAUAUCAACUACAAAUAGCCUUAAUGCUUAACAAUUGAAAAACAUUGACAAUAUAUAUAUAUAUAUAUAUCAAUAAAAUAAUGAAAAAAAGAUUGGGGAUAAUUAUUGGAUAAAGUAAAAGUUGAAUGGGAGUAUUUUUGCUCAUCACUUUAACUCAGUUGUAAUCUUAUCAUCCUUCUCAACACUUGACACGUGUCUAUUAACAUAGCCAUGGUUCCAUAAAUACAAAGUAAAGAGUUAACUAUGGUUAUGCCAAUAGACAUGUGUCAAGCGUUGAGAAGGUUGGUGAAGGUACACUUUAAGUUAAAGUGAUAAGGAAAAAGCAUUUUGAGUCCGAGCAAUACAUGAAUAGUUGUAUUUUAGAGAGUAGAAAUUUGAGUUUAGCCCCCAUCAUGGUCGGAGAUGACCUUACUUGUCUUCUCCGCACAUAUUGUGAUCAUUAAUAAAUGUGUUUCAUGUGUUUCGUGAGUUUCAUGAUGAGCAAGCACCUGCUACCACUUAAAGUUAUAAUAUAAAAUAUCAGGCAAUUUUACUGUAAUGACUUGUAUUUAAGGAGAAGCCAAGUUAUACGUUGUUUAACAUUCUGCCUUAUACAUAUCAAAUUUCAAAACUGAUAAGCAUAAGCAUGGCUCUGCACGGUUUUAUUGGGACUCAAAUAGAGCUCAAGUCACCUGCUGAUAAGUUCUACAAAAUCUUCAAGGGUCAAGCCCACCUCAUCCCAAAUGUUUCUUCUGGCCAUAUCAAAGGUGUUCAGGUGCAUGAAGGAGAUUGGGAAACGCACGGCUCUGUUAAGAUCUGGAAUUAUCAUCUAGGUAAUUAAGUAACUAUAUGGUGAACCCACUUUGGACAAGUUUAAUUAUUUUCUGUUUCGUUGUUAACUAUGUCAUAUGGGUAUGAAAAAAAAAAUCAUAAGAUGAGCUUAUAUAUAUAUAUUUUUGUUGUGAAAUAAAUGUGACAGGGAACGAAGUUGGGACAUUCAAGGAAAAGGUCGAGUACGACGACGAGAACAAGGUGGCAACUUUGAUUGGAUUGGACGGAGAAGUGUUCAAGUAUUACAAGAGCUUUAAGGGCAUCUAUCAGUUCGCUCAAAAGGGUGAUGUUAGCGUUGCCAACCUGACGAUUCACUAUGAGAAACGGAAUGCGAAUGUUGAAGCUCCAGAUAGAUAUGUUGGUCUCAUGGUUACCCUCGUCAGGGAUCUUGAUGCUCACUUUGCCAAGGCAUAAUCGAAUAUCAAAAGCAAAUAUAUAUAUGUAUGUUAAUGCGUGCUUUGUGUGGUUAAUAUUAUAAGUAAUGCUUUGUUUUAUGUGAGUUUUUCUUUGUGGCAUGAAGGGAUUUCAUAUGUGAUAUAUUGUGAUGUAUUAGCUAUGUGGGUUAUCACAUAUAUAAAAUAAAAUGCGUGGUGUGCUAUAUAUAUAUAUAUAUCUCCAGUUCUUGAUCAUCAUUCAUAUAUCAAGUACAAAAUAGACUUAAAAAUCAACAAUAUCCAACUGUUAUUUGUUGCGCGCUUGGAUUCAAAGUACUUAAAAGACAAAAAAAUCUGAAGUAUGUUGCGUGCUUGGAUUCGAAUUUCACAUUGAACACUUAGCCUUGUAGAUGAAAAAGACACAACUAAAGUAGUAGUAAAAAAAGUAGUAGAAGCAGCUGGAAGCUCUUUCCUUCAUCAUUUGCGCUCUCCUUUCCCCUCUUCGUCUCUCUCUUUCUUUAUCUCUCUGCCCCUUCCCUGUGAAAAGAAAAGAAAGCGUAGCUGGAUGCGACGAAUGAAGGAUAGAUUCCACAAAGAAAAAAGUUUUCACGUUCUUCCAUUCCAUAAGCAACACUGAAGAAUUCCCUAAUAAUGUAUGGACGAAACUCUCAUGACAACUAAUUCAAAGCAAACACAACUCAACCCAGCUGACAGUGCAAUAAGCAUCCUCCCUCUCAAAACCCACCACGUAACAUAAUUAAAUUCAUUGUUAAGGUUCAUGAAUUAUAUUAUCGAGUUAAUUAAUGCGUGCUUUGUUUAAUUACAAGUAAUUAAAAAAAAUGCUUUGCUAUGUAUUUGUGUCAAGGGAUGUCAUAUGUGAUAAUGUGAUGUAUUAACUAUGGUCAUCACAUAUAUAAAACAAAAUGAGUUGCGGAGAAGUUUUCCAUGCAGUUUCCAUCUAGGAAAAUUCUCUAGUCCUUUGGUGUAUGGGUACACCAAAGGAUAUGGGCCGUUAGAUUGAGAUUAGUGGGAAAUGGACUAAUCUACACCUUUGGUAUGGAAAAUCUGAAAACCUAGUAUUGGAGGUAAAAAGGUUUAUUAAAUAUUAAAAUAUAUUACAGUGGCAAUUGAUACUCAUCAAUUGGCAAAUCGAUACCUAUCAAAUGCCAAAUCGUUACCCAUCAAUUGCCAUAGUCACUUGACGUUGUAAUCAUAGUGCAAAAGCUCGUAAAUUUGAACUCAAAUGUUGUAAUCUAUAAAAUUAAGGAUAGGCUUUAUAAUGUUAUGGAAUGUCUAUGUGCCAAAUAUUUUAAUAUGAUUCUUUAAGGUUGUAAACCAAUAUUUUUACAAGCAUAUGAAUAAUCUUAACAAUGUUAUGGAACUCUCAAGUCCCAAAAACUACAACAUGAGUCAUUAAUAUUGUAAAUCCUGGUUUUUACAAAAGCUAAGAACAAUUUUACUUUUUUAAGGUCCAACCAAACCUUAAUAUUGUAAUUGACAUUAUUUUCAUUGUAAAUUAGGCUAUUACAAUAUUAUGGAUUAAAGUAAACCUUAUUCUUGUAAUUACGGUGCAAAAGAUCAUAAAUUCGAACCAAAAUAUUGUAAUCUACAAUAUUAAGGAUAGACUUUGCAAUGUGAUAGAACGUUUAGGUAACAUUGUAAUAUGAGUCCUUAAUAUUGUAAAUCCCUGUUAUUACAAGAUUAUGGAUAAAAUUUAAAAUAUUAGGAAACUCUCAUGUGCCAAACAUUUUAAUAUGAUUCCUUGAGGUUGUAAACCAUUGUUUUUACAAGCUUAUGGAUCCUUUACAAUUGUAUGGAACCCUAAGUUCCCAAAAACUGUAACAUAAGUCUUUAAUGUUAUAAACCUCUGUUAUUACAAGAUUUUUGAUAAAAUUUAAAAUAAUGUUAGAGAGAACUCUCAUGUGCCAAACAUUUUAAUAUGAUUCCUUAAGGUUGUAAACCAUUGUUUUUACAAGCUUAGGGAUAACCUCUACAAUUGUAUGGAACUCUAAGGUCCCAAAAACUGUAACAUGAGUUCUUAAUGUUGUAAAUCUCUGUUAUUACAAGAUUAUGGAUAAAAUUUAAAGUGUUAGAGAACUCUCAUGUGCCAAACAUUUUAUUAUGAUUCCUUAAGGUUGUAAACGGUUGUUUUUACAAGCUUAGGGAUAACCUUUACAAUAUUAUGAAACUCUAAGGUCCCAAAAACUGUAACAUGAGUCAUAAUAUUGUAAAUUCUAUUUUUUACAAGAAUAAUGAACAAUUUUACAUGUUUAAGGUCCAACCAAACUUUAAUAUUGUAAUCAACGUUAUAUUCAUUGUAAAUUAUACUAUUACAAUAUUAUGGAUUAAAGUAAACCUUAACAUUGUAAUCACAGUGCAAGAGCUUGUAAAUGCGAACCUAAAUCUUGUAAUCUACAAGAUUGACGAUAGACUUUUCAAUUGUAUGGAAUGUUUCAAACGUUGUAAUAUGAGUCCUUAAUAUUGUAUACCCUUGUUAUUACAAGAUUAUAGAUAAAAUUUACAAUGUUAGGGAAUGCUCAGAGAUAGUUUGGCAAUUGCCAAUCAACUUGUCAUCAUUUGCAAAGUGGAAUGGCAAUUGCAAAGUGGACCUUGAAGAAGGAAAAUUGGUUCUUAUGCUUGUAAUUGUAAAUAUAAGGGUUACAACAUUAAAGAUCACGUUUACAUAUGUUCAUAGACCUCCAUAAUCUUGUAAACCAUAUCCUUAACUUUGUAAUAUAGUUCUUAUUUUGGAAAUUUUAUUUUACAAAUGCUAUUGGAUAUGCAAUAAGAUAUACUAGGUGAAAAUAAUAAUAUGUAAACUCAUACGCCAAUUGACAAAUAGAGAUAUCGUAAUUGCAAUUGUAUUUGCUAUGGAAACUAGACAACUUGUAUAAAAUAAUUAAAAAAUUGGGGAUAAUUAUUGGACAAAGCCAAAGCCGGAUUGCGGAGAAGUCUUCCAAUUUUAGUUUGCAGUUUCCAUCUAAUGCAUUAUUUGUUUGCUUCAUGGUGUGACUGGCACUCAAAUAUAUAAUAGCCACCACAAGUUCUUAGUUCGGUUGAAAUAUCCCAUUUUGCAUGUAAUUCCUAAAAUACACUGACGGUUUAGGUGUCCUUUAGUCUAAUCUUGUGAGUAGUGACCCUAUUCAAGUACAAUAUUGGUGGUGUCUAAAUACGAAGGUUAGAUAUGAAGUGUUAGUUAGAUUGGUUAAGGUUUUUGGUGCGCUCUCAUGUGGUCUUAGGUCUAAAUCCUCAUGGUAGCCGUGUAUGUGAGUUUACCCCUUUCCUUUCUAACUUUGAUCAAAAAAAUAUAUAUACAAUGUUAAAUUCUACGUUCCCAAAUGGAUUAGCUCCAUUAAUCAAGUUCACUGAUAUACUCUAACUAAAUUAAGAAAUUAAAUUUGGUAGGGUUUUGUGUGGGGUCCAAAAUUUAAAUUUGAUAGGUAUAGAUAGUACAGGUAUACCUACCAUGUUCAAGAUCCCGCCACGUUUAAUUGCCACACGCCACGUUUAAUUGUCACAUGUCAUAUAGAUCAAAUCAUGUAAAUAUACGAUUUCCUAUACGUUGCUGUAGGCAUACAUCGAAAUUUACAGCUUGACCUGGGCUUCCGUGGCUCUAUAUAAGGAGUGGAAGCUUAAUAGCUAUAUCGGUCAUCUACAAAAUUCUAAAAAGUAAACCUAAUUGUUUUGUCAGAGAAAAUGGCUUUGAGUGGAGCUAGUAAUUACAAGGCGGAGACUGUGGAGGCUGAGGUAGAGAUCAAAUCCAAUUCUGGCAAAUUGUUCAAGCUCAUCAGCAACCAGCACCACGACGUUCCGAAGGCCUCCUCUGAUAAUGUACAUGAUGUUGCGGUACAUGAAGGUGACUGGGAAACUUCUGGUUCUGUCAAGCUUUGGAAAUACACCUUAGGUACGUAUAUAUGUACUACUGGAAUAUGUAUAUAUGUCGUUUGAUUCUAAAUUACUAAAAUAUUUCAAUGCUAAUAAACUAUAUAUAUGUACGUGCAGAUGGAAAUGUUGAAACUUUAAAGGAAAAGGUAGAAAUAGAUGAAGCGAACAAGUUGGUGAGUCUUACUGCUUUGGAAGGAUCACAUGUGUUGGAGAAGUACAAAAGCUGUAAGAUCAUCUUCCAGGUCACUCCAAAGAGUGAAGGAGGUUUGGUGAAAAUUACCCUAGGAUAUCAAAGACUUAAUGAGAACGAUCCGCCUCCACAUAAGUACCUCCGGUUUUUGGUCAAUGUCAUUCAAGAUAUUGAUGCACAUCUUCUUAAGGAAUAAUUGCACCAACAAGAUUUAUGCGUGCAACUUUGAAGGAUAAUUACAUAUAUAUGUAAUAAAAUAAGGGCAAGCUAUCCUUGUUGUUAGUACCGUUUCGGACUUGCAAUUUCUAUCUUGGAAUUUAUAGGCAAGAAUGAAUUGAAUUGUGUGCAAUAUAUAAGUAUAUUGAUUGUGUGUGAACAAGUUUUCCUGGGUGUAUUAACUCAUCCAAAAGAAUAAAUUAUGAUCAGUAUAUUGUGCUACUCCUAGAAUGGUGUCCUUUUUUUAUUUUUUUUUAUUUUUAUUGUUGUUCUUGUUUUGCAUUAACAUAAAUACCUUAUUUCUACUUAACCAUACAAUUUAUCACUCAAAUUUGCUACUAAGGCAAAGCUGAAUUAUUGAUAUAUCUUCCAACAUGGCCCGCUUGGUUUGCAGUACUUUUCAUCUAGUGCAUUUAUUUGCUCCACCCAUGCUGCGGGCAUCGAGAAAGACCACAACUUUUGAGAAUUGUUCGACAUAUUUUGCACACCGCCAUGCCAAGUUUUGCAUGAAAAUCUCAUGGCAGAUGCGAAUGGUUUAGCUUGGAACCAUCGUCUCUGAGAUAUUUGGGAAUAGUGUGAAGGAAACUAUGGAAAGGCGGUUUCUCGAGGUGAUUCAAUUUGAGUAGAUAUCGUUUCGGGUUAAGUUUUUGAUGUUGUGAUGUCGUUUUGCUGAUCCAUAUACAACUGUAAGUUUUGGUUUAAAAGAAAUUUGAAAAUAAUGGCAUAAUGACAUAUUUUGUAAUUUUAAUGUUCUUUAAUUAUAUUAUGGUAAAAAUAGGUGCUAUAUUUUGGCUUUUGGUUUUAUCCUAAUUAGCUGAAAUUGAAUUCCUAUUAACCUAAAUAGUAAACUAUAUUUUUUUGUGAAAUUGAAUUCCUAUUAACCUAAAUAGUAGACUAUAACAUCAAUCAAUCUUUUCUUUUGUUGAAACAUCAAUUGUAUUUUGGCAAACCGAAGUAACGGAAGUUCCUAUCACAUUAAAUAUUUUUAGUUUUUGUCUGUGGGUAAAUAGUUAAUUGAACAUUUUCGUCCAAACCAGUUGGGUUGUAACUUGUUAUAAUUGUUAAGUAUUAAGGCUAUUUGUAGUAGAUAUAACGAAUGAUGAGCAAAAACUGGACACAGCACACCACUCAUUUUAUUUUAUGAAUGUGAUAGCCAUAGUUAAUACAUGCCAAUAUCACAUAUGACAUCCCUUGACACAAAUACAUAGCAAAGCAUUUUUUAAUUACCUGUAAUUAAACAAAGCACGCAUUAAUUAACACGAUAAUCUAAUGCAUUAUUUAUUUGCUUCAUGGUGUGACUGGCACUCAAAUAGCCACCACAAGUUUUGCAUUACCAUAAAUACCUUAUUUCUACUUAACCAUACAAUUUCUCACUCAAAUUUGCUACGAAGGCAAAGCUGAAUUAUUGAUGUAUCUUCCAAUAUGGCCCGCUUGGUUUGCUGUACUUUUCAUCUAGUGCAUUUAUUUGCUCCACCCAUGCUGCUGGCAUCGAGAAAGACCACAACUUUUGAGAAUUGUUUUGACAUAUUUUGCACACCGCCAUGUCAAGUUUUGCAUGAAAAUCCCAUGGCAGCCGCGGAUCAUUACCCCUUGGGGAUUUGGCUGGUUGGAUAGGAAUGCCCCACCAGGUGUUUCUUGAAAUUGACUGAACAAAGGAUGGGCAGUAGACUCGAUCAUGACCCAAUUCAAGUUCAUUAGUGGAGUACUCACUCAAUGUUUGGUUCAUGGAAAUGAAUUGAUGAGAAAUCAAUUUCUAUGUAGUUUUUCAUAGAAAAGGAAAUCGAACAUUCAUUUUCUAUGUUUGAUAAUGCUGGAAAAAUAACUAGAAAAUAUCAUUUUAUUUCCUUCUCUAUGUGUGGUUAGUGUAUGGAUUGAAAAUGCAUUUUGUUUAGUUUUUCAAUUAUAUCCCUAAAUAAAAAAUCAUAAAUAUAUAUAUAUAUUAAAAAGUGUAAUUAAUAUUUGCCAUGGUAUUUUUAAUUGUUAAUAGUGGUAAAUUGGUCAUAAAAAGUUGUAAUUAAUGCUUGUCUUGGUUUCCCACGAGGAGGGAAAAUUAAAUCCAAUAUAAAUGGAAGGUUUUAUUUUCCUCCCUAUUUUUCCAAGCUUGGACUUACCAAACAUAGGAAAGCAAAUAAUUUCUCAUUCCCAAGCUCCUUUUCCCAGAACCAAAUGCAGUAAAUACGAAGGUUUCUACUUUCUUAAAGUUCAUUAGCUCGAACCUACCAGAAAAACCUAAUUGAGAAAACACUAGCCUCCCUUCUCUCUCAAACCUCUUUUGUUGUGUUCCAGGGAAUAGGGAGCAGGAAGCCACUCAUCCUCCUCUCUCUCCCUGAUGGGGAUCGGGAUCCGGACACAGGUCACCAACCACAUACACGAGCACCGAAAUCUAGGGCUAGUGCAAACUCACAUAUAUCGUAGCAAAUUCAUGCCACAAAUAAACUAUUUUAUUAAUCAUCAACAUAUCUCCCCUACAACUAUUACAUUAGCCUUAUUUAUAGGCUUUACAAGACUUGGGCACCAAGGCUACUUGGUCCAAAAGUAAACUAAUUAAUUAUAAAAUCACACAUACAUAAUAAAAGAUAUCCUAAACUACCUAAAUAAGAAAAUAACAAUAUAUCAUGAAAUAACUAAUUAAAUAUAAAAUAUCUAUCUUGAUCCACCACUAUGCUCCUGCAUCAGACUCCCAUGGUUGGAAAGAAUUCGUCCUCGAAUUCAAGCCUUUGAUUGAGGAAAAUCCGAGUAGAAUCUUCAAUUGUUUCAUAUUAAUUCUGGAUCUUUUAGCAUCCAAUUGAAAUCUUCCUUUCCAAAUAAAAAGAUAUUUGGAAUAUUUCGUUAUUCUUGGCUUCUUCUUACUCCCUCUAAGAAUGCAAAAGUUUCUCUCUAGAAUCUUCAACCGAUUGACAAAAUCAACUAGAUUUUUGGCAACCUUCCAAGUGAAAAUAUUAAUGCCCAUAAAAUCAAUAAUAUCUUCAAAAGUUUUCUCAAUUCUCAUCUCUUCACUGUGCUGGUCAAUAAAUUGCUUAUCAAAAUUGCUUUGAACACCCAAACAAUUUUCAUUGCAAUUUUCACAGUUGCAAGGAUCAAAUAUUGGAGGUAAAUCUAAAUUUAAUAACUUUGAUGAAUAACAAGAUGCACCAAAAUUAUCAAAUUCAUUUAUACCUUCAAAGACACAAUGAGAAUAACCGUGCCCCUCUUCACUUGACUCACACAGCGGAGCGCAAUAAUGAAAAGGGCUAUCUCCCUCGUACUCCCCGUCGAGACUCUCACGGCUUAGAGUGUCGAUGCGAGCUACUCGGUUCAGAUAAGGGUUCACACAUCCCUCCCCGUCAGAACUCUUACCUAUCUGGGUUCGAGCUUCAAUGCGAGCAAUGCGUUCUGUAAGUUGCCGUAGCAUCCUCCUAAUUUCCUCCAUGUCGUUGUAGUUGUUAAAACGACCCUCCAUCCAAAAACCUCCCCGAUAUAGCAAAUCUUGAGCCAUAGCUCUGAUACCAAUUGAUGGGGAUCGGGAUCCGGACACAGGUCACCAACCACAUACACGAGCACCGAAAUCUAGGGCUAGUGCAAACUCACAUAUAUCGUAGCAAAUCCAUGCCACAAAUAAACUAUUUUAUUAAUCAUCAACAUAUCUCCCCUACAACUAUUACAUUAGCCUUAUUUAUAGGCUUUACAAGACUUGGGCACCAAGGCUACUUGGUCCAAAAGUAAACUAAUUAAUUAUAAAAUCACACAUACAUAAUAAAAGAUAUCCUAAACUACCUAAAUAAGAAAAUAACAAUAUAUCAUGAAAUAACUAAUUAAAUGUAAAAUAUCUAUCUUGAUCCACCACUAUGCUCCUGCAUCACUCCCUCUCUCUUUUCCUUAUCUCCCCACUUAUUUUCCCCUUCCGCAUCUACGGGAUUUGUGGUUUUAAUUGUGAGGAGGUUACUUGUGUCUAGAUCUUCUUAGAUUUGUGGUUUUGUUGGUUGGUGUUUUAGAUGUAAGGUGACUGUCUGCAAUCUCAGUGAUGUUCUCUAUCUCCAAGGUGGUUACGGCGUCUGUGGUGGCGGUGGCUGAUAAGUCCAUAAAUUUACACAUUGUUGAGGCCCAAAAAUCCAAGGGGCUAAGCCCAAGUUGACUAUUGGCCCAAUAGGGACAAGUAAACGCAAGAGAAUUUAGGGAACGAAUUAAUACGAGCUACGGGCCACAUGCCACGCCAAACAAGCACGUGCGGGAAGACCAAAAACAUGCUAAAAACAUGCUCAUUCCUAUUGAACUCGGCUAUAGCCUAUGAUGAUAGGAUAAAAAUCCAAGCACAAGCAUAGGUGUCGGAACCGCCAUGCCAACACCAAGAUGUGUUACAAGCUUAGGUGGGCCCAAGCCACCAAAAUUACCCGGGGCUUGCUUGAACGGGUUGUGGUAUGGAUGGCAACGGGCUUUCAUAGGACCCAUUGACGAGCCAAGGAAAUGGUAGUUUCGGGUCACUUGGGAGGCCCAAAACUCAAGCCUAUUUCUUUGGCCCGAAAUACAUGGGUUAGCAUAAGAGAAGAGAGAGCAUGACCCAAUACCUUAGAAAAAAGGUGCAAAGCCUGUUAGAGAAGGCUAGGACAAUUAGAAGGCCUAAAUGUGCUGUUAAAGUGCAAUAGGCAAGCUGCUUCCGGCAGCUUGACGAAAGCCCAGCAGACUGACCCAGAAUGACAUAUCACCAAUUCAAAGCCUAGGAAAGAAAAGCCCAGCCCAAACUCCCUGUAAAAUAUCUGGCCAAGCACGUUUUGUCCCUAUCCAGGAAAGUCAACAGCAAACAUCUCAAAAACCAGAGGAAAUCCACACAAGCAAGAGGUUUACCCGUUGGGUAAAACGUAGCUCCUUUCCCUCCCAUUGUUCUGGCAGCUUGCAUAGGAAAGAUCGAGAGAAAAGCAAGCGGCUCUUCACCUCUAUGAUGAAGGGCCAGCAAAACCGAGACCUUGGAACCACAAAUGGGUUCCUUACCCAUGUGUCUUGGGCGGACGGAAUUCAUCAAAGAAGACGAAGUGGGGGAAAACAAUGGAAAGAGGGAGGGAAGUAUGACGAAAUUAGAACCCUUAGCGGCUAUAAAAAGGAGGACUUCUGCUACCCAGGAAACCAACCCAUUUUUCAGAGCUCGACCAAGCAUUGUCAAGCAGCUGGAAAAUCUACUCAAGCCACCCCAUCUCCUCCUCCAUUCGUUUCCUUCCUCCAUUAGGAAGGAAGUCAGCCAAAUCUUCCUUUGCUUGCUCUAAACCUCCAUCCUCCAUAGGAAAAUUCAUCUCUCUCUCUCAAAAUUGCUAAACCUGUGAAAGCCUAGCUCCCAUGCCACAUGCUCUCCAAGCCAAGCUCUUCUGUAAAAUUGGUCAAGUUUGUUUAGGCUAUUAGUGAAGGAAGCCUGAGAGCGUUUUCGUAACAGUUUCAUCAGACUCUGCGAAAAACACUCUUCCAGGCGCUUGGUGUCGAACCCAGGCAUUUGGGGAAUUUUUGCUCACUUCUCUUCUCACGGCAGCCCAAGCCCAUUCGUCAGGCUGCUGGAACAAAAAAGCCCCAACAUAAAUUGGCGACUCUGCUGGGGACCAAGCUGCCAUUUUUUCGCUAAUGCCUCCAAAAAAGAAGACUAGGAGCAAUACCAUGGCCUCUCAAGACGGAUCUGACCACGGUGAUUCCGAAUCACGACAAAAUACCUCCUCUAGGCAGCAAGAACGUGCAAGUGAGGGAGCUUUUACCCUCACAAACCUUAUUACAGCUAUGCAGGCUAUGGGGGAAACCCAAAGAGAAAUGAUGGACACCAUCAAAGAGCUAAAGAAUGCUGUUCCUAAGCCAAACGAAGAAAAUACCCGACAUCCACAGGAGGAAUCUGCUGCUGCCGGAAAAGAGUCUGAACAAAGGGGACCAUCUUUUGUUACCCAGGAGGAUGUCGUUGCCAUGCUGGAAAGGGAACUCAGUCGAAGCCAAGAAGACUGGAAAUACGUUCCUCAACCACCUUACCCGUCAAGCUUACUCCAGCAGCCUUACCCCAAAGGCUACGAAACACCAAACUUCGUCCUUUUUGAUGGAAGGAAAGGGAGCCCAAAGGAGCAUGUUAGUCGUUUCAUCGAUGCCUUAGGACCACAUGCUGGUGAUUAUAAUCUCCGACUGCGAGAGUUUUCAAAAAGUCUUACUGAUCGGGCCUAUACCUGGUAUACGACAUUGGCGCCAGGCUCAAUUCGUUCUUGGGACGAUCUGGCAGGCAGGUUCUGUAAAAAAUACUUCCAGCACGAGGAAAGAGUCAUCACCACCCAGCUCAACAAUACCCGCCAGAAGCAUGGUGAAGAUCCUGUGGACUUUGUACGAAGGUUUCGAGAUCUGGCCCUAGAUUGCUAUGAUGAAAAGGACGAAGAGGCACUUGUCGAAAUCUGCAUCAGCAACAUUGUAGCAGAUUAUAGAGUGUACUUAGAAAACAUUGGCAUCAGUCAAUUUUCUAGGUUGUUGGAAGCAGUAAGAAAAACAAGCAUGUCUGUCAAACCGACGGGACAAAGGACUUGGAGGAACGAGAAGAGGGAGGCGCACCAAACGUUAGCUGUAAAUGACAAGCCAUCCAACGACUACGGCACACGCAAAAGAAAGGACCGAGAGACGUACCCGCCACUGCCAUGCAAAGAUGAGGAGUUUCAUGCCAUCUUGGACACGAUGAUCGCUGAUGGCGCAAUUAAACCUCUCAGGCCCUACAAAGUCCCCACCCGAGAAGAAAAGAAUGAUCCUAGGUACUGUCGCUACCAUCAAUUCGUGGGACAUCCAACUACUGCCUGUCAGAGUCUAAGAAGGAUUUUACAUGCUAAAAUACAUGAAGGAGUUCUUGAGCUUCCUUCUAGGAAGCAAACAAUUGAUGAGGACCCCUUGCCGAAACGAAGGGGCAAAGAGGUAGCUGCUGUCAUUACAUAUUCCGAGGAUUUACUGGAUGACGAUGAAUUGUGCCACCCAUGGAGGAAUGACCCGAAGCCGCCAGAAGCUAUGUGGGAACCUUGCGGGAACAUGGAGAAGGCGUACUGGUGCAAAUAUUCGAAGCCUUCAAGUUAUAACACGCCAUGGCCGCUCGCUGAUGGAUGGGAUGACGACUCAAGUAAUCAGAUGUUUGUUCAAGACGUGCCGGAAGAUCGCUACUCGGGGGCUUCAUUGGGACAGCAGGAAAUAGCUGCCGUAACAUUUCACAAUGUUACGGAGGCUGAAGCAAGCGUGUUGGGACGUUACCUAAGUCUGAAACAGGGGCCCACAGCUUCACAGGCCCUCCAAAGAAACCCAAAGUUCAAGUCACUCUUUGACCAACUUGGCUUUGGGCCUCAAGCAAGAGAAGCAGCUGCUGUAACUCUCAUGAACAUCUCUGCGGCAUCUGACCCUCAUUGCUUCACUGUUCAACCACAAAGUUCGUUUUUGGGAAAUGACAAUGCUAUCAUCUUCACAGACGAGGAUAUGGAAGUUCCUUACCCAGACCACAGGAGGCCGCUUUAUUUGGAGGGGCAGAUCAACGAUGUGUUUAUAAGGAGAGCCUUGGUAGACACAGGUUCCUCUGUCAAUAUUUUACCCCUAUCUGUGCUUACAGCAGCUGGCAUUCCGCUAUCUAAGAUCGUGCAAUCUCAAACAAGCAUCAGCGGUUUCGGGAACAAAAGUGAGGUCACGGUCGGGUAUAUGCAAGUAAAUCUGAAGGUGGGACCGAUUCGAGCACUUACUAAAUUUUAUGUUGUGGACGUGGAUGUGGCUUACCAUGCUCUGCUUGGAAGACCAUGGCUCAAUAAACAUAAGCUUGUGGUCUCUACUUACCAUCAAUGUGUGAAAGGAAGAAUUGGGCUGAGACCAGUACGCAUACCCGGAAAUCAAGCACCAUUCAAUGAAGAUGAAGCCCACUACUCCGAGGCAGAAUUCUACACCGAAUGCACAGGUGCUGAAAGCAACCCAUCCAAAGAUUUUGGAACCUACCUUCCUUCUUGGACAGAAAUUCGUGAUUUAAGUAAUGAAGAACUCAUCACCGUCAUCAACCGAGGAAGAAAGAGACACUCGGAAGCUAACAAUCAUGCCUAUGAUCAUCCCCGGUGCUCAAAAGUAACGCUCCCCGAUGGGCGCACCGUGUAUCGCUUAUGACGGGAUUGGGGGCUUAACCGUGUCUUAUGGGAAAGCCCCGAGUAUGGAGGAGAAGCAAUGCAAACCAAUGACCGCAAAGAUUCAGAUGACAAGGCACCUUCACCUUGUGCCUUCCAGGAGCCAAUGGUUGCUCCCAAGCACAUGCAAGAUGGCUCAGUGGCAGUAACUGAGCAAUUGGAGACAAUUGACUUAAGUGAUGAUCCCGCCGUCCAAAGACCCAUUUCCAUCGGCAUCCAUUUAACAGAGGAGGAGAAGGAAGUUUUGGUGCCUUUGUUAAAAGAGUUUCGAGAUGUGUUCGCUUGGAGCUACGAAGAAAUGCCCGGCCUUGACCCAAAUUUGGUGAGUCACACGUUGAAUAUUGAGCUGGGUACCAAACCUGUCGUACAGCCCAGAAGGAAUUUUCAUCCUGAAGUUGAAAAGCAAAUCAAGGUGGAAAUCGAAAAACUGUUAGCUGCUGGAUUCAUCAAGCCCAUCAAGCACCCUACGUGGCUAGCAAAUAUCGUUCCCGUGAAAAAGAAGACCGGGGUCAUUAGAAUAUGUACAAACUACCGAGACCUCAAUCGAGCUUGCCCAAAAGAUGAGUUUCCGCUGCCCAACAUGGAUAUAUUGAUCGAUUCAACCUCGGGUCAAGGCAUGCUGUCCUUUAUGGAUGGAUUCAGUGGGUACAAUCAGAUCAAAAUGUCGCCCAAGGAUGCUGAAAAGACAGCCUUUCGAACGUCGUAUGGGAAUUUUUAUUACACGGUCAUGCCAUUUGGUCUCAAAAAUGCGAGUGCCACCUACCAAAGAGCCAUGACGGCAGUGUUUCAUGAUAUGAUGGGAAAAGAGGUGGAGGACUAUGUGGAUGACCUUGUGGUGAAAUCUAAAACCAGACUGGGGCAUCAUGAGGUUUUAAGGAGGGUGCUGGAAAGGUGCCGGCUAUACGGGCUGAAAAUGAAUCCGAAGAAGUGUGCGUUCGGAGUAUCAUCUGGUGAAUUCUUGGGGUUUCAGGUGCACCAACGCGGCAUAGAUGUGGAUCCCGAAAAGACUAGGGCCCUAAAAUCCUUGUCGCCACCAAAAAACCCGAAGGAAUUGAAAAGUUUCAUGGGGAGGCUGUCGUACAUUCGACGCUUUAUUCCAGGGCUUGCUGCUAUGAUGAGCAUCUUCACCCCUUUACUCAAAAAGGGCCAAUCGUUCAUAUGGAGCAAAGAAUGCCAGGAGGCUUACCAGAAAGUGCAGCAACUGAUAGCCAGGCUACCCACAAUGAGGGCACCUAUCCCGGGACUUCCACUCAAGCUCUACUUAGCUGCGACAAAUACCGCGGUUGGAGCUUUGCUUGCCCAGGAUAGUCAUGAAGGGGAAGAAAGCCCCAUUUACUAUGUAAGCAGACAAUUGAAGGGAGCUGAGACAAGGUACCCAAAGACAGAACUAUUAUGCCUUGCUCUUGUUUAUGCUGCGCAGCGAUUGCGACAUUACUUUCUUGCUCACAAGCUGCGGCUUGUAGUAAAAUCCGACCCUGUGAGAUACUUGCUCACAAGACCAGUGCUAUCAGGACGUCUUGCACGCUGGUUGCUGCAAUUGUCUGAGUUCGAUAUUGUGUGUACGCCCCCGAAGUCUAUUAGGGGACAGGCUGUGAUUGAUAUGUUAGCCCUAUUCCCCGAAGUAGAGGAGUCUACUCUGUCCAAAGAAGUAUUAGGAGAACUGUCGGAAGUAGUUGCCACUGUUGUAGAAGAAGCGUCAUGGACCCUCUACUUUGAUGGAUCCUCUACAACCAACGGUGGAGGAGCAGGGAUAGUGAUCAUCAAUCCUGAAGGGCAGGCCACAGCUCUCUCGUUCAAGCUAGAUUUCCCAUGCACAAAUAACGUCGCGGAGUAUGAAGCCUUUAUCAUGGGAUUGUCUACGGCAAGGGAAAUGGGUGCAGAAAGAGUAAAGGUCAUUGGAGAUUCAAAUCUGGUAUUGAGCCAAAUGCAAGGGAGCUUUGCUGUGAAAGAAGCAACUUUAGCACCCUAUCGUACAGCUGCUGAAAGGCUCAUUAAUUCCUUUAAGCAUGUUGUGAUGGAGCACAUCCCGGGAGUUACUAAUAGGUAUGCAGAUGCUUUGGCUACAUUAGGAUCAAAAUUAUCAUACGUACAGGAGCAGCCUAAUAUUACUGUGGUAAGGAGAGAGACGUCAGUAGUAGAGGCAAUGGUCCAGGAGGAGCUGCUGGAAGAAGAUGACUGGAGAAAGCCGUUAAGAAAAGAAUUCAGUGGAGAAAGCAGCAUUAAGGACUUGAAAGACUAUGUGCUCAUCUUUGGGGAACUCUAUAAACGCCUUCCAGGCGGUGUUUUGACUAGGUGCGUGGGAAUGGUAGAAGCGAGGAGAAGGUUGCAAGAGGUACACGAUGCCACCUGCAGUUUGGAACCAGUGACCAGUUUGUAUCGGCGCCUGCAGCGUAAGGGUUAUUAUUGGCCAGAAAUGAGGAAACAAGCAGCCGAUGUUCAGGCUAAUUGUCCCAAAUGUUCUACGGUACCCACUACCGAGGAGGCUUUCACUGUGUCACUGGUGGAAGAUUGGAGGGCCCCAUAUCUAGCAUUUUUCGUUGAAGGAGCUCUGCCAACCAAUUCCAAGCUCGCUUAUAAGCUCAAGAAGACGGUAAAAAGAUAUUUCAUGGAUGGAGCGACUCUUUACAGGAAGGGAUUUAAUGGUGAACCACUAUGAUGCUUGGAAAGGUCAGAGGCUUAUCAAGUCAUGCAAGAGAUACAUGCUGGAGAAUGUGGAGAACAUCAAGGGAUGAAGAGGCUUUAUCGGCAGCUGCUGAGUUUCGGAUACUAUUGGCCUACUAUGAAGAAAGAUGCACGUGACUUUGUUAAGAAAUGCCACACAUGCCAAGCCAAAGCCAUUUGUAUGGGAUCCUAAGUCACUAGCAGACCUCAUGCUUCAUCAACAAAAAAAUAUACGCCAAGCUAAUUAGCAUAAAUAAGCAUUGAAGCUUCGAGCAUGGAUCCUGCCAAAAUUAUGGCGGUAUCUACCUUAUAUUAAGACCCAACAUGCGGGAAAUCUCAAGCGAAAAGUUUCAACCAAGCACUGCAUAUAAUACCAAAUAGAAAAGUUACAAUGUGUUUGACAAAAAAAGGGAGGACAUGGUUUCCAGCAGUCAGCACAUAACAACACUGCAGUGCCAAGCUGUCACAAUGCAAAUUUUACAAGCCUAAAUUCGAGCAAGUUAUACAAGCUGUCACAAUGGUCGUUUUGAGGGGUUUAGCUUGGAGAGUGGUGUGCACUCUCUAUGUUAAGGGAGAAAAAUAUUUUUAUAAAAUUAGAUUUUCUAACUUCAUUUAUGUUAUUUACUUUUCAAAUCUAGGAACGGGAGAGAACCAGACAACCUUCUAAGGGUAAUUUCAUCAUUUUAGCUUCUUGGAUACGAGGUAGGGUUUCCUGAUUUCCCGAUGAUUGUGCUAUGUCACUCUUAAUCUUGGUGCUUAUAUAUAGUACUAUAAAUAUGAAUAUUAUUGUUGCUUUGCUCGGCGAAUAUUUUUUGAUGUUAUGUGAAUAUUAUUAUUGAUGUUUCUUUGUGGAUUUUCUUUGAUGUUGGGUGAAUAUUGUUAUUCAUGUGAUGAAACUUGAAAUAUUAUUAUUAUUAUUAUAUGUAUUAUUAUUCAGUAUAGAUAAAUGAUGUUGCUCUCCAUUACAUAUGCAUCAUAAAUACAGUGGUGUUAAGGGUGUGUGUGUCGUUUGACGUAUAUCUAAGGGGUGGGAGAAGACCUUAGAUAUAUAUGAGUAAAAAUGCAGAAUACAUUGAAGUAACGGAAGUAGGGCUUGAAUAUAUUGAGGUGAUGGGAGCAGGGCCUAUAAUGAAAAGUGAAAGUUGAGAAAUUCGUAAACAAAAGAAAACUGGGUUAAUGGACGGAUAGGCCCUAGUUUAUAUUUUAGGGUAUUCGGAGCCACAAUGGUAAAACGCAUGGUAUGAGACAUGCAAGUUUAUUGCCCUAAGGUAUGAAUUAGUGGGAUUAUAAGGGAGUGAGUUCAUGGCAUCACCGCAUAUGCAAAUUUAUUUAUAUGGUAUGGUUGCAUAAUUUCUGUAUCUUGUGUUGUUUGAUGCAUGACACUUUGAUUAACUGUGAUAAUUGACUUUGAGGGGUUUGGUGGUACUCUACUGGGUAUUAGAAUGCUCAUACGCUAAUAGAUUGUGCAAGAUUCAAGGUGAAGUUUGACAGAGCAGGUUUCAACCAAGCUACUAGGCUUUUGUUGUUGAUUUGUGUAAUUAACAUUUGUAAGUAGUCAACGGUUUGAUAAAGAUCUUAGUGUGUAAUUAACUAUGAGCUACUGAGACUCUGAUUCUGUGUUGUUAAGUAAAUUUGUAUUUAUUUGUGGCUCUUUUUCUCAUCAUAUCAUGGUUAUAAGAUUUUAUUCUUAUGACUAUCGUAUGACUCACACCCUAAUUCAAGAAUAUUCCUUAUUUUCAAAUCAGGUCGUGACACUCAGACUCUCACUUGUAUUUAAGGGGAGCCCAAAUUAUGUUCAUUAACAUUCUGCCUUGUACACACAUCGAUCACUACUUAUACUUAAUUCUGCGUAUCAUCACAACAACAACUGAUAGCAUGGCGCCUCUGAAAGGUAAGGUUGAGACUGAAAUAGAAAUUAAGGCACCAGCUGAGAAGUUCUACAACAUCUUCAACAGCCGGGCACACCACGUCCCGAACAUUUCUCCUGGCAGCAUUCAAGGAGUUUAGGUGCAUGAAGGAGACUGGAAAACACAUGGCUCUAUUAAGAGUAGGAAUUACUCAAUAGGUAAGGUCAUCUAUAUACCUGUUACAUGUGGCCGGUGUACAUCUUUAAUUCCCUACCUAACAAAAUACAAUUAUGUCUUGUGAAAUAGGGGACGAAGUCGGGGUAUUCAAGGAAAAGGUGGAGUACAACGAUGAGAACAAGUCCAUAACUCUGAAUGGGGUGGAAGGAGAUGUCUUCAAGUAUUUCAAAAGCUUUAAGCCUGUCUAUCAAUUCACUCAAAAGGAUGAAGGCAGCAUUGCGACCUUGUCGAUUGCAUAUGAGAAAAUAUGCCAUUAUUUUCAAAUAAUAUAAUUAAAGAACAUCAAAAUUACAAAAUAUGCCAUUAUUUUCAAAUUUCAAUAUUUAACUUUAAACCAAAACUUACAGCUGUAUAUGGAUAAGUAUAACGACAUCACAACACCAAAAACUUAACCUGAAACAACAUUUACUCAAAUUGAAAGCUAAGCCAUUCGCCUUCACCUCGAGAAACCGCCUUUCCACAAUUUCCUUCACACUAUUCCCAAAAAUCUCAGAGACGAUCGUUCCAAUCUAAACCAUUAGCAUCAACGAUGACCACCAAUGGUGACAACCACCAACGAUCGAAGCCAAUUCUCACUCUCUUGAAAAAAAAAUAACCAUAAGAAAAUCAACACUCUAACACAAAUUUGCCUUUGUUUUUUAGGGAUUAAGGAUUUUAGAGAUUCUAGAUAUUGUUCAUUAUGCAUGCUCCCUUUGGAAAAAUGGAUGACUUUUUGGAUUCACAACUACUCUUGGUUUAGGUUUUGCCUUCGUUUAUAGGGAUUAAUGAUUCUAGAGAUUUUACCUACUGUUCAUUCUUCACUCUGCAAUGUAGUUUAGGUUUUGGGUUUAGUUUUGGUUUCAAAAGCUCUAAAAACCAAAAAAUCAUUAGAGAAAGAGAAAGAGCAUCAAAUAUAUCUAUUUUCUGCAUUGCAGAAAACGGAAACUGCACUUAGUUUGUAGUUCUUAUUUUGACUUUACUGAUCUUUCCAUUUCAUGUCAAGUUGAUGUAUAUUUUCUGUUCUAUUAUGUGUUUUGGAUUGCUCCUAUUAUAUUUCUAUUAUGUUUGAUGUUUUGCGUUUUGGAUUGCUCCUUUUAAAAUAGGAAGAGCUUCAAAUAUUUUUAUUUUCUGCAUUGCAAAAAAUGGAAUCUGCAUUGUAGUUUCCGUUAAUGCAAUGCAAUGAACCAGAAACUGCAUUGCAGUUUCUGUUUUCUAUUUUCUGCUUACCUAUUUAUACUUCUUCCUUGUAGUUUAUCUCUACUUGUCCUAAUUGUGUUUUCAUCCCUUCUUGUUUCAGAUCACAAAUGGCACAAGAAAUGUCACCACAAAAGAAUGAAGCUCAAAACCAACGAAAGCCAAGAAUCAAAACAAUGGCUCAAAAGAGAAAAACAAAGCCAAACUAUGAUAGGAAAGCAAAGCACUCAGACUAUGUCUAGUUUCGGUGCAACGUCAAUGCUUUCAAUAGAAUCAUUACAUAUGUUAUAGACAAACUCAAUGACAGGUAGAAGAAACUGCUCAAGACAACGCCUUUCUGGAACUUGAUUGAGCUAUUUUAAAACCAAAGAAUUGACAUGAAGAACAUGAAUAAGUCGGACCUCAACUUAGUAGCGCUGCUCAUGAAGUUUGAUCCAGAUACAAAGUCCUUCAAAUUUGGCACCAAAUCGUUCAAGAUCACAGCCAAUGCAGUGAUUGAGAUUCUAGGACUGCUAAAUGAAGGAAAAUCUGUCAAACUUGGCACUAAUAGAUACAAUGAUACCUUCAGAACAAGGCAAUUCGGAGAAAAGUCAAAACCAUCAAAUGGCAUGGUAGAAGAAGAAUUAAAAAAGACAAUUACCUUGGCAAACCAACCAAAAAAAGAAAAGGCCAAGGCAAAGCAAAAGAAGAAACGAAUAGAGGAAAAGCAAAGAAAAAAAUUGAAGAAGAAGGGGAAGACGAAGAGGACAAUGAGGUUGUUGACUACGACAAGGAUGUGGUCAGCCUAAUCUUAAUUCUACUCUGCAUGACAUUCUUCUUUGCCAACUCUUCAUUCACUUUACACUGGAAAAUUGUUGAGCACUGUAUGAAUCUAGACACGCUUUCAAAAUAGGAUCCGCUCCGGAAUUCCUCGGUAACAAGACAGAUUCGCAUAUUGUGCGUUAUCCGGGUUUGAUAGGUUUGAAUCGUUGGAUCGUCUCCAAAUUUUUAUAUGUUGAUCUAGGCACUCCUAGAAUCGUGUAGAAAUUCACGGAUCAUGAAUCGGAGCCCCGGAUGUUCCGAUUCAAUAAUUCGAAGUUUGUGGUUUGCGAUAACCGUCCAUUGCAGAUCAAACUCACAAGACGUAUUUCCUAAACCCGUAGUCGGACCAUAGAAUACCUCGAGACUCUCUCAGGGUCAGGUAGCAUGGGACUACUUGUGAGUGGACAUUUAUUUUAAAUAUGCCUUAUUUUCAAUGAUUGAAAGGUUAUGCAUGGAAUGGAUUUAUUUAUAUACAUUUAGAUAUUUUGGAUUAAAGUUUGAGAAAGUAAUAAGUUGAGAUAUUAGUAAUAUUAAAUUGAGAAUGUGAUUUUUAAUUGGAAAAUUUGAAGUUGAAAUUUGGGGGAUCUGGGAAUUUAGUAGGAUGGGUUAUUGAGGGAAGAUUUAUGAUGACACUAUGUAAGUACCAUCCCCUAGUUACUAGGCUUCCCACACAUGGCGUUGGAAUUACCGACAUGUGGGAAGAACAUGUGUUGAUUAAGUCUCACACGUGGCGUUGGAAUUUCUGGCUUAUGGGAAGAUUAUGUGAAUUAUGAGGAAUCAUCACACGUGGCGUUGGAAUUUUCGGUGUGUGAUGAUGUAGUCUACGCUCGUAGGACUUAGUAUUGGUGCUACACGUGGCGUUGGAAUUUUCGGCGUGUAACCUAUAGAGUUUCGCCCCUAGUUGGACCGCUCAUCUCUAGAUGCAGGAUAGCAACAUGAAAUCCUGCGGGCUAGCCAAACAAUCCCCCGGUUGGAUUGUUUCCCCGGUGCCUAAGUAGUGUGAUAUUAUAAUAUCCCACAUCGACCAAAGGAGAGGGGGUGAUGUGCCUUAUAUGUACAGGCCCAUCUUCAUCUAGCAAGAGACCUUUUGGGAGCUCAUUGGCUUCGGAGUCAUGAGAACUUCGAAGUUAAGCAAGUUGGGGCUAGAGUAAUCCCAAGAUGGGUGACCUAUUGGGAAGUUGCUAGUGAGUUCCCAGAAACAAAACCGUGAGGGCAGAGAGGGGGCCCAAAGCGAACAAUAUCAUGUUACGGCGGAGCUGAUCCCCGGAUGUGACAAUUUGGUAUCAGAGCCACUUUGCCAUGUGGUGCGAGUGUGCCGACGAGGACGUCGGACCCCUAAGGGGGGUGGAUUGUAACAUCCCACAUCGACCAACAGAGAAGGGGUGAUGUUCCUUAUAUGUACAUAUCCACCUCCAUCUAGCACAAGGUGUUUUGGGAGCUCACUGGCUUCGGAGUCAUGGGAACUUCGAAGUUAAGCAAGUUGGGGCUAGAGCAAUCCCAAUAUGGGUGACCCGCUGGGAAGUUGCUCGUGAGUUUCCAGAAACAAAACCUUGAGGGCAGAGAUGGGGGCCUAAAGCGGACAAUAUCAUGCUAUGGCGGAGCCGAUCCUGGGAUGUGACAUCGUGGGCAAGAGUUGUUUCAACCUACAUAAAUGACUCCUUGAUCACAAAGGCUAAAGCAAGAAAGGAAGGAGAAGCCUCUAUAUGAGUUGUUUCAGGUUGCACUAUCCUAAUAUUAGUAAGUAAACAGUGGCUUAUGCAAUGCAUUUUGAGUUUUAUGCAAUGCAGUUUCUGUUUUAUCUAAUGCAGUUUCCAACCUAAUUUAUGAUAUAUCUUGUUUUUGAACUGUGUUGUUUGUACUAUGUGAGAAGACAAAUAUCAUACAACCAAUCUUUGGCAAGGACAAAGAAAUUCAUGCAAUUCUUAAAUGGAGUCUUGUGGAACUCCACACAAGAUUCAGCCAAAUAAAGGACUUAAAUGACAUAGAGGUAUGCAAGUUAUCACAUGUUCUAUUUUAAUAUAUCUUGAAUGUGAAUCCAUGCUAAAUCAUUCUCAUUGUAUAGGGUAUUUUCAAAACCUCUAAAAAGUCAAAAAGUACCAGAGAGGAGGGAGACCCUGUUGACAAGGUAAUUAGAAUCUGUACACAGUGGCUUAUGCAUUGCAGUUUCUGCUUUCUACAUUGCAGAAACAGAAACUGUACUGCAGUGUCCAUUUCCUGCAAUGCAGUUUCUAAAUCAUUCUCAUUGUACAAGGUAUUUUGAAAACAUAUAAAAAGCUAAAAACUACCAGAGAAGAGGGAGACCCUGUUGACAAGGUAAUUAGAAUCUCCAAACAGUGGCUUAUGGAUUGCAGUUUCUAUUUUAUUUAAUGUAGUUUCUAAUUAGUUUCCGUUCAAUUUGUAGGAAAAAGAAAACGAAGAUGAUGAAGGGGAAUAAGGAGAAGCAGGGGAAAUAGCAGAACAAGGACAACCUGAUGAUGAUAUCAGACUCCAGAAUUAAAAGAGAUUAGAAAGAAGAAAAGGUUUGAGAUUGAAGCUGGAAAAGAACCUGUUGGGAUUCAAGAACUCUUGGUGAAGUCCAUGAUAGCCCAAAUCAACUACCGCCAACGCCAAAAUCCUAGCUUUGUUUGCCUAAAAAGAUUAAAACUGUGGAAGGAUGAAAUUAAUAAAGACAGUGAGAAGAAAAUGAUGGAAUUGUGGGAUAUAUUUAUCCAAGUAGAAAAGAGAUCAAACGAGUUGGAAGAGGAGUUAGCAACACACAAAGAGAAAUUACAUGAUGAAGAAUAUGUGACUGCAACUAUGACAGUGGAAUCUACAAUUCAGCUUCACACAAUACAAAAUCUGAAAAUGAGGAUUGCACAAUUGGAAGGCAAGGAAUCUUAUAUUGACCCAGAGCCGAGUGCCAAGAAAAUGAAUAUUCCAUAAAAGUAUUAAGGUAGAAAUUGAAAGUAUGUUCUAGGACCCAAUAAUCUUCGAAAUAGAGCGGGAUUUUCCUACAACACAUCCAGUUGAAGAGAAAGAAGAAGAGAAAGAAGAAAAGAAAGAAGACAAAGAAGAAGAGAAAGAAGAAGAAAAAAAAAAGACAAAGAAGAAGAGAACGAAGAAGACAAGAAGAAACAAGAAGAAGAGAAGAAGCAACAAGAAGAGAAAGAAGAAGAGAAGAAGCAAUAAGAAGGGAAGAAGAGAAGAAGCAACAAGAAGAGAAAGAAGAAGAGAAGAAGCAAUAAGAAGGGAAAGAAGAAGAGAAGAAGCAAGAUGCUCCAACACCAAGAAUACAAAGGCUGAAGAACAGAGAAAGAAAGUGACAAGACCAGGCCCGAAUUCCUCAGAAUCCCUGACGAUCCCUGUGGUUUUUCUGACAUCAAACUGAUGCCCGACCUACUUACUAACAACAUCCUCUUCUCUGAAAACAAAGGAAAAGAGGCUCGAGACUUUUUACUGAAAUUUCGGCAGUGUCUCCACUGAAAAAUGGACUUUUCUCAAAUUUUCAACAUGUCAAAACAUAGUAACAACACACCCAACUAGGAGCACGCACAAUACAAAAGCAUGAAGUUUAUAGAAUAGGCCACCGGCCUUACAUCCAAUCCUACAUGGGCAUUAACAGAGCAAUUCUAAGGAAUUUCAGUUUGCAACCGGAAACAAACGUUCAAUGGAAAUAAAAACACAUAAAAACUGCCCUACAGAAGUUCAGGGCGCGGAAAUGCGAAUCUUGGCUCCGUUGCUCGGCUUAGAUGAAGCUACUGUCUGGGGGUAUAAAACAGAAAAUUGUGAGUGGACAAAAACAAGUUUUCAACAUAGUUAUAAACAACGUACGAACCCCACCAUUUUAGGAAAACGAUGACAAAACUUGCAUUCAAAACCAAUAUACAUAAUCAAUUUAAAACCAAGGUAAAACCCAAAACUCGAUAUGGCAUAUAAAACAAACUCGAACUGGACCUUUUUUCCCUUCCCACCACUCUUUUCCAAAACACAUGCCCUUAGGCACAGCGAGCGAGGAAGUAUCCUCACUAAUAAAUAAGAAUAAAUGUGUAUAAGUAUAUAUAGGUAUGACCACUACCAAACUUGUACCGGGGAAACAACCCACCGGAGGAUUGUUUGACUAGACGACAUGGAAGAAUCCUCAAUUGACCAUGUGGCUAGGGCACGAGCCGUCAAAUCGGGGUACUGGGCUCACCAGCACGCACAACAGAAUUCUCAAUACUCGUGCGCUUGUGACAAGUCCUACCCGGGCAGACUACCUCGCUAAGGGUCUACGAAACACCCCGUCAAGGGUGCCAGAGUUCCGACAUAUCCAAGUAUCCAAGUGCUGGGGAGGUACAUAGGGUAGUUCUAAAAGCACUCCAAACUAACAUAAACCACAACCCAAAUCCCAUUCCAUAGCCACUUUCCAACAAUACCAAGUACCCAACAUAUAUACCCAGACAACCGAACAUCACUUGCAUCCAAAACACAAAUCCCAAAUUAUACAUAUUUAAAGUAUAGAGAAUAGCUCUCAAGAUAACAAUAAGUCGACCCAAAAUAAACACAACCUUCAAGUAUCCAAAAACAUACCAAUGAUUUCAUAAAUACCAUAACGUAAUAUUAAAACAAUAUUAAAGUUUCAACGUAAAAAAUAUCCCAAUAUAUAUAUAUGCAUAACAUUCCACCUUUGAAAAUAAUAUUUAUUUACAAACAAAGUCCACUCACAGAAGAUCAGAAGCUACUUGACCCUGAGAGGGCCUUGCUUGCUGAGCAUGCUGAGCCUGAAUACCUAUUGAAGAACAUGAGGACUAGAUUAAAUAAAACACUUUAAAAAAAACUCAUAGUUUUACCACCAAUACUCUUAUAAUCAUACUAUAUUUCCACUUUGGAACAUAUAAUAACUCAUAAUCAAAGGACUCAAUAUGCAUAUUUUUCUAUCCUUGAAAAUAAUGAAUAUUAUUUGAAAUCAAAGUCCACUCACUACCUAAUAAUCAUAGCCGAGCCCAAGGCUCACUUUCAUAACUCACCCAACUCAAUUAACCCAUACUCAUUUAUUCCAUAAUUUCAAUUAUUAAAAUAAUAUCGAAGAAUUUUCAUACGAUAAUAAAAACAAUCUUAAAAUCCCAACAUAGUCAACAUAACUCAAAUAACGGUCGAGACUCGUUAAUAAGGUCGUUCUAGUACUCCUCAAAGGGUGAAACUACCUUGGAAGACUCACGGUCAACCGAGGGGUCAAACUACCUAAACUUGGUCGACCGGGCCCACGGGUCCCAUGACCCCGUUUUACAAUCCAGACAUUCCAAUGAGUUCCACAAGGAUUACAAUACUUUUCUUGCAAGUUUUGUCCGAAUCGGACAGUCGGAUCGCUCACAAUCAUACGAUCGGACGGUUAUCGUAAAACGCAAAUUUUAAGUUAUUGAAUCUGAACAUCCGGGGCUCCGAUUCACGAUCUACGAAAUCCUACACGAUCCUAGGAAUGCCUAGAUCAACAUAUACUAAAUUGGAGUCGAUCCAAUGGUCCGAACAUGUCGCAUCAGGAUAACUCCUAACGUGCGAUGUUCGACCGUCGAUCAAAUGAUAACCAAAUUCAAAUCCGAGCAUACCGUUGUGCUCGGGAUGACAUGGGGAUUAUGUUAGGACCAGGAGGGACUUCAAAAUAGUACCCACUCACUGCCACACGAGCCAGCAGCGCUUGGGUGUCCAAAGCGAUUCCGGCGAUCGAAAAAACUCCAAAUGCCGGUCAAGACUUAUACCUACAUGAUCAAGACAUUGAGUGUAGCAACUCUUGUUCUUGGACCUACCCUAAAAAGUGGGCGGAAGUGGCCGGAAUUGAGGGCCGAAAAUUGGCCAAACUAUUAUUGCUAAAUUGACACUGAAAACGUAGAAAUUGAUCCUAAAUAACAUGACCAGCAGCUAGAGCACAUUGAGAGGAUGGAAAAGCAUAGUUGGAUUGCAAGAUUUGGUUGCCUGAAAUGUUCGAAACGAUCGAGGGAAUUUUCUCACAAAAAUGGCCGGUUUUCUUGAUUUUUCGCGCCAAAUUCGGCGGCUCCAGCGGUGGCAACGGGGUGGGAUAGUACGGGGGAGGCUGGCCGGUUGUUUUGGGACCGGUUGCAGCUCUGGUGACGCUCUGUGGCGGUAGUGGCGAAGGUGAAACCGUCGCUGCAAACAGUCUGUGGAAGGGGGCCCGGAGAGAGAGAGAGAGAGAGAGAGAGAGAGAGAGAGAGAGAGAGAGAGAGAGAAAUGGGAGGGUUUUUUUUUAUUUUAUUAAAACCAACUUCAAAAAUAUUACGGUUAUGCCACUGAGUGUAUUUUGAUCGUAUUUUUUUUGUUAAACCUAUGAUUCGAGCCCGCUACGUGUCUACAGACUCAUCUCGGUACGAUCUAAGUAAAAAUAUCAGUCACUACCCCAAAAUCCCUCCGAAUUAAAAAAAAAAUCCAAUUUACCCUGACCCCAAGGGCAAAAUUAUAAAUUCAUAAUUAAAUUAAUUUCCAAUUUUAACUGGAUAAAUAUACUAAGGUCGGGGUGUUACAAAAUCACCCAACAAUACCUAUGUCAAACCAUUCAGACUAACAAAGGGAGCAUUUUUUGGUUCUUGGACCACGACCAAAAAGUGGUCGGAGCUAGCCAGAUCAAAGACAGAACCUUAUGGUUCUAACUGGAACUUCCCAACCUUGUAACAGCGACGCAACCACCAAUGGUGUCGCACAACAUAGGGAAAAGCAAGAGAGAAGAGAGAGCUACUUGAUCCAAGUGGUGGCGUGACCAGAGGUGGUCGGAAUAGUUUUCGGCAUCGACGGGAGUUUUGGCCGAAUUUUAGACUGGAGAAAUUAGGUGGGUCAGGUAGAGGAGGAGGAGAGGAGAAUUUUGGAAGUUGUUUCAUCAGAAACGGCGGCGAUGGAGGAGAGAGAUCGGGGGAGGAGAGAGAAGACGCGUGGGGUAACUCCUUCGUUAAAACUUCGAUUUGGGACACUACGUGUCUACGAACUCAUAUCGACGAGCUCUAAGCAAUGAUGCCACUCAAAUCCCAAAAAUCUUUACGGAUCGAAAAGUGACCAAUGUGACCUUGGCCCAAGGACAAAAUUAUAAUUUCACAAUUAUAUAAAUUUAAUAAAAUUGAAUAAAAUGAUUAAAUUGGGCCAGAGGCGUUACAACCUACCCCCUUACAAAAAUUUCUUCCUCGAAAUUUCAUACCUGUCAUUCGAGGAGGUAAGGGUACUUGGCCUGCAUAUGUGCCUCGGGUUCCCAACUGCCUUCCUCCAUGGUUUGACUCCUCCAAAACACCUUCACUAUGGUUCUAGAAUGAAACACUUUUUCCUUUCUAUCCAGAAUCUACACAGGUUGCUCAUCAUACUCUCAACUCCUUAAACCUAAAAAGUGACCAAUGUAACCCUACCCCUAGGGCAAAAUUGUAAUUUCAUAAUUAAAUAAAUUGAAUCAAAUUGAAUAAAAUGAUUAAAUUGGGUCGGAGGCAUUAUAGAAAGAGGCAUCAAGCAUCUUGCUGUGAGUACGAAAAAGAUAAGCAACCAAAAAAGGAGGCAAAAAAGGAUGAUGAAGAAUUACCACAAUUCAAGCUUAUCUCUUCUGAAGAGCCAUCAACACAAGAGGAUUCUCAAAAUCAUAUGGAGGUAUGCAAUUACUACCGUUCAAGCAUUUUUUUUUUUUAUGCAUUGCAGAAAAUAGAAAUUGCAAUGCAAUUUCUGUUGUAGUUUUCGUUUCUACAAUGCAGUUUCUAUUUUCUGCAUUGUAGUUUCCGUUUUAUCCAAUGAAUUUUCUAAUUAGUUUUCUUUCAAUCUGCAAUCAACACAAGAUGCAUCUUAGCCUGAUGCCAGAGAUCCACUUCCUCAUUCCCCACAAGGAACAAGCCUUCACGAUUCAAUAAUUCUUGGUUUGAAAAAAUUAGAUGAUGAAGAUGAACGGCCAAAAUAGACACAAAAAAAGCCAAUUAAGAAGGCACUAGGAUGAGGGAAAAUGAAGGAUUGGCAGAAAAUUCCAAAAGAGGACAGGGACAAAAUUCAAGAAUACUACUUAAGUACUCAACCUAGGUAGUAUCCUAUUCCAAAAGAACAAUAAUUUCAUCUUUUAAUUACAAUUAAACUGAAACUAAUCUUGUGAAUUUCAUGUAUUCAAAUCCACAGUGAUAACUUUUGGGCAGGACUUCGUGAUGAGAAAGUGACAAACCGUAAUAUCAAAGAUAUUGUAUGAGACCUGGAACUGUCACAAAAUGUAAGUCUAAACUACUAAAACACACAUUGCACUGCAGUUCUUAUUUGUGCCUCAUAUAUUAACCAUUAACAAUUCCAUUUUUCUCCAAUCAAUGUGAAACAGGUUAUUGAAGUCUACAUACAAAUCGAGGAAGAUAAAAUAACUCCAUAGUACAUGUCUACAUGGACUUGGGUAAGAAUUAUUUUCAAAUUUUAAAAUUGAUUAAACAGACACUACACUGCAGUUUUCGAAAAAAAAUAUACUAACCAAUUUCCAUUCAAUGCAUGCAGUCAUACAUGCAAAACUACAUAGAGCCAGCUUGGCAUAGGGUCAUGUAUGAACCCUUUUUGGAAAAACUCGGGGAAUGCAAUCUGCUUUUCUUCCCAAUCAUUUUAAGCUCCGAGUUUCACUAUACCCUCCUUGCAUUUCACAAACUAGAACAAAAGUGGAGAUACUACAAUCCACUCAGGUCAUUGGAAGCAACAAAACAAGAAAGAUGCAUUGACAUUUCUCAUCAAAUUGUAAGUGGAAUGUACCUGUCUUAAUUUCUCAGCACAAACACAAACUGUAUUGCAGUUUCUGUAUUAUACCCGCUGCCUAAUUUCAGACGAAAAUUAUAAUAUGCAAUGCAUUGAUUACCCUUUUUUUUUUCUUUUCUUCUUCUUUCAAUAGGUUAAUGUUGUUGGAGGGUAGCUAGAAUACAUGAGACCUAAAGCACAAGUGUUCUUAGAAAGUAGAAAAAUACCAAAACUUGUGAAGCAAAGGGAAGAGCCCCUACACCUGUAACGCAAGAGAUGUCCUCAAAUGAAGAACUCACUCUCAAUUGGAUUUUGCAGUGUCUAUGUCAGUUUCCAUUUGAGGAUGACACAGAAUGUGCUCAACAAAGUUCAUCUUCAUAAGAAUUGUUUUUACUCAACUAUUCAUUACAAUUUGAAAUCAUUCAAAACCAAAAACUAAUCUCAUAUUCAUUUGCAGGUUGGAUUGUGGCAUGUUCGUCAUGUUCUACAUGGAUAAAUAGCACAAGGACAACCCAUUCCAAAAAGUGUAGACAAGAAUUUCAUGAAUGAAUAUCGAGCAAAAUACAUCACGAAACUCCUGCACCACAAAAACUGUCCCAUUAAUCGUCUCUAGUGAUUUGUCUUUUGUUAACUCAAGACAAUAUGUAUCUUAAUUCUUCUGGAUGUUUGUAAAUAUUUCUAGUUAUGGGAUAUGAGAAAGGAUUUGUUAUACAUCUAAACUGUCAUAUAAUCUUAGAACAUUUUGCAACAAAAUGAAAAGGAAACAAGAAUCUGCAACAAACGGAAACUGCAAUGCAGUGUAUGAAAAAAAAAACUGGUCAAAUGUGAAAAGAAACCAAAAGCCAAAGCCAUGAUCAAAGCACUAAAACUUUGUUCAAAACACAUUUAAGUAGGUCAGCAGUUGUAACAUUUCAAUAGACUUGCAAAAAUUAUUCUGAAAUCGAAUUAUGAAACAAAAAAACUGCACUACAGUUUCUAGUAAAAAACUGCAACAAACGGAAACUGCAAUGCAGUUUAUGAAAAAACAUAAGCUCAAAUGUGAAAAGAAAAGAAAAGGCAAAGCCAUGAUCAAAGUACUAAAACUAAUAUCAAAACACAUUUAACUCUAUAAGCAGUUGUAACAUUCCCAUAUACUAAAAAAAAUUAUUCUGAAAUCAAAUUAUGAAACAAAAAAACUGCAUUGCAGUUCCUGAAAAAAAAAUUGCAACAAACGGAAACUGCAGUGCAGUUUAUGAAACAAAAUCUGCUUAAAUGUGAAAACAAGCAUUGAAUGGCAGUUAAAAAUGAAUAUCCACUGAUGAAACAAUUGUAUAAUUUUCAUUAACUUAAAAAUAAAACAAAAAUUCGUAAUAUCCAAUUAGAAGCUGUGUAGCCAAUUACAAGCAACUAAAAACUGCAAUGCAGAAAUUGACUAUACAUUCACUAAAUCAUAUCUAACAUUAGCAAUCGUCAACUAGGAAGGAAUGUUCAUAUCACCGCCUUGCAAGUCUUCUUGUUGUGCCCAGCAACACUACACUGACUACAUUUCAAUGGCCUUGUACCUUCAGCAAAAGCUUUGAUCCUCUUCGUUGGUGAUCUUUCGGCUGGCCUUUUUGUAAUUAGCGGAAGCACAACUCUAGCAGUUGAACUGUUGCUGCCCAAGCGUUUCCUAAUCUCUUGAAUAGGAAAAAUAGGACUAUCAAAGGCUUUUCGAAAGAAGUCGGACCUGUAGUAACAUGCAAAGUAAUCAUAAACAGAAUCUUUCUUUGCUAGAAUUGCAGCCACGACAUGCAUACAAUGAAAACCAUCAAUUUGCAAAAGACGGCAAGAACAUGUCAUUUGCCCAAGAUCAACCAUCACAGAAAAUUAGCAAAUACUUCAAAAAUAGUGAAACUAGAAUGGCAUACGGCCCAAGUCCUGCUAGCCUAAGUGUUUUCCCACAGUCUAGUUUCCAUCUCUGAACACAAAAUUGUUGUCCACUUCUCAGCUUCAAUUUGUCGUUGAGAAUUCAAUACCAUCAAUUUCUAUCGAGUCCCUUCCAUCAAAGGUAACACCGGCAAAUCUCGAAAUACACCAACCCAGUUAUUAAACGACUCGGCUAAACUGUUUGCCAUCUCCCCAUAACGCAUUCAUUUAAAAAAUGCGUUGGCAUAGUGAUCUCUGGACAAAUCAAAUAUAAAUAUCUUCUCUUUCGCACUCCCAACAAUCACCAACUCAUCCAUUGCUAUUUUAAACGCUUCCGCUGUAACAACAUAUGCACAUCUACUAAAUAGAUUAAUAACACAGUUUUGGAGUAGUUUCUCAUAACCUGACUUCGGGUAUUGCGAUAUCAAAUUUUGUUUGAGGUGAUAGUAACAGUAGGAAAUAGCCAUCCAGGAAACACAACCCCCAUUGCAUUUAACAAACUUUGAUUACGGUCCAAGAAAAAAGUCACCAUUCUCCCCAUUGGUAGCAAUAUAGCAACCAAAUGUUGAAGAAACCAAGUCCAAUUCUGCUCUGCCUCAGAAUCAAUAACUCUAAAAGCUAAAGGAUAAAACCCUGCAAAACAAAACCAAAAGCACAAGUAUAAGCAACAAACGGAAAUUGCAGUGCAGUUUAUGAAAACAAAUCUGCUCAAAUUUGAAAGGAAACCAAAAGGCAAAUCCAUGAUCAAAGUACUAAAACUAAGUUCAAAACACAUAUAAGUCCAUGAGAAGGUGUAACGUUCCCACAGACUUGCAAAUAUUAUUCUAAAAUUGAAUUAUGAAACAAGAAACUGCAGUGCAGUUUCCCUAGUAAAAACUACAACAAAUGGAAAUUGCAGUGAAGUUUAUGAAAACAAAUCUACUCAAGUGUGAAAAGAAACCAAAAGGCAAAGCCAUGAUAAAAGUACUAAAAUUAAGUUCAAAACACAAUUAAGUCCAAUAUCAUUUGUAACAUUCCCAAAGACUAGGAAAAAUUAUUUUGAAAUCGAAAUAUGGAAUAGGAAAAUGCACUACAGUUUCUGAUAAAAAAUGAAAUAAACGGAAACUGCAGUGUAGUUUAUGAGAAAACAUAUGCUCAAAUUUGAAUAGAAACAAAAAGGAAAAGCCAUGAUCAAAGUACUAAAACUAAGUUCUAAACACAUUUAAGUCCAUAAGCAGUUGUAACAUUCCCAUAGACUUGCAAUGUAGUUUAUGAAACAAGAAACUCAGAAACUGCAACAAACAGAAACAACAAUGUAGUUUAUGACAGAAAAUUAAAAAACUUCGAAUCAAAAUCAAAAGGAAAAGCCACGAUCAAAGUACUAAACUAAAUUCCGAAAACAUAUAAGUCAAUAUGAACGAAAAAAAGGUUCUCAAGUACCCAUACCUCAACACCUAGGACUGCCAAAAAUCUCCCCAUCACAAAACGAAGAAGAUACAAAAUGGCACACACAAAAUCGCGCCACAAAACUGAGCUCGAAAUAGGAGGACUAAGAUCGAACUAGAGCACAGAAAUCGCACGCCAAAACAAACCUUGAUUCUGCAUGCAAAAGCAAAAUUACACCCAAAACAUAAAGAUCAAUCUAAAUAACACAAAACGUAAUCAGAAUAAAACAGAAAAUCAAAUGAAAACCUACCAGAAAAUUGAAGCUCCAAUCGCAGCUAAAUAAACCAGAGCUCCAAAAUGUUAAGCCGAACGAAAACGAAAGAUAAAAGUUCAAAUCACGCAUAAUUUAAAUAGACAGGGGUAAAAAAAGUCAUUUACUUUGUAAGUUUUACAGUUGGGCUAGGCUUUUUAAGAAGAAGAGUGGCAUUGUCUUUUCAGUUAUUAUUUUAAGCUGACUCAAUGAAUCUGGGCCUCCUCUUUGGCCUAAUCCAAAAUAACAAUUCUUUCCUAGGUAUUAAAACCCAAACAAAAAUACCCACUGUCUCAAAUACAAAUUCGUAAAGUUACUUAUGUCUAAUACCUAAUUUUUCUUUAAAUAAAAUAAGUUGUAAUAUCCUACAUCGACCAACAAAGAAGGGGUGAUGUGCCUUAUAUGUACAUGCCCGCCUCCAUCUAGCACAAGGUCUUUUGAGAGCUCAUUGGCUUCGGAGUCAUGGGAACUCCGAAGUUAAGCUAGUUUGGACUAGAGCAAUCCCAGGAUGAGUUCCUAAAAACAAAACCGUGAGGGCAUGGGGCCCAAAAACGGACAAUAUCGUGCUACAACGGAACCGAUCCGGGGUGUGACAAUUUGGUAUCAGAGCCAUUCUGCCGUGUGGUGCUAGUGUGCCGACGAGGACGUUGGGCCCCUAAGGGGGGUGGAUUGUAAUAUCUCAUAUCAACCAACGAAGAAGGGUGAUGUGCCUUAUAUGUACAUACCCGCCUCCAACUAGCACGAGGCCUUUUGGGAGCUCACUGGCUUCGGAGUCAUGGGAAAUCCGAAGUUAAGCUAAUUUGGGGUAGAUCAAUCCCAUGAUGGGUGACCCAUUGGAAAGUUACUCAUGAGUUCCCAUAAACAAAACCGUGAGGGCAUUGGGCCCAAAAACAGACAAUAUCGUGCUACGGCGGAGCCAAUCAGGAGUGUGACAUAAGUGGUGUGAUGUGUCCAGUUUCUGCUCACCAUUCGUUAUAUCAACUACAAAUAGCCUUAAUACUUAACAAUUGAAAAACAUUGAAAAAAAAAUAUCAAUAAAAUAAUUAAAAAAAAGAUUGGGGAUAAUUAUUGGACAAAGCCAAAGUUGAAUGUGAGUAUUUUUGCUCACCACUUUAACUCAAGGUGUACCAUCACCACCCUUCUCAACACUUGACACGUGUCUAUUGACAUAACCAUGGUUCCAUAAAUACAAAGUAAAGAGUUAACUAUAAUUAUGCCAAUAGACACGUGUCAAGUGUUGAGAAGAAUGAUGAAGGUACACCUUAGGUUAAAGUGGUGAGCAAAAAUAUUUCCAAAGCUGAAUUGCGGAGAAGUCUUCCAAUUUUAGUUUGUAGUUUCCAUCUAAUGCAUUAUUUAUUUGCGUCAUGGUGUGACUGGCACUCAAAUAGCCACCACAAGUUCUAAGAUUCGGUUGAAUAAUAUCCCAUUUUGCAUGUAAUGCCUAAAAAACAUUGUGGCGUUAAUUAGUUGGAUUAAUCCAGAUCUUUGUGUACUCCCAAGCAGUCAUGAGUCCAAGUUCUUAAGAUAACAGUGUGUGUGAGUUUUCCCCUUUCCUUCCUAACUUUGACAAAAAAAUAAAUACGAAUGUUAAAUUCUACAUUCUCAAAGUGGGUUAGCUCCAUUAAUCAAGUUCACUGAUAUACUCUAACUAAAUUAAGAAAUUAAAUUUGGUAGGGUUUUGUUUGGAGUCAAAAAUUUAGAUUUGAUGUAUAGAUAGUAUAGGUAUACCUACCAUGUUAACCAUUCUUAACUAAUUUAAUAAAUCUGAGGACUCAAAUUAUAAGUCUGUAUAGUUGGAGGAAAAAACAUUUUGAAUCCGGGCAAUACAUGAAUAGUUGAAUUUUAGAGAGUGGAAUUUAAAUUUAGCCCCAUCAUGGUUGGAGGUGACCUAACUUGUCUUCUCCACACAUAUUGUGAUCAUUAGUAAAUGUGUUUCAUGUGUUUCGUGAGUUUCAUGAUGAGCAAGCAUCUGCUACCGCUUAAAGUUAUAAUAUAAAAUAUCAGGCAAUUUAACUGUAAUGACUUGUAUUUAAGGAGAAGCCAAGUUAUACGUUGUUUAACAUUCUGCCUUAUCCAUAUCAAAUUUCAAAACUGAUAAGCAUAAGCAUGGCUCUGCACGGUUUUAUUGGGACUCAAAUAGAACUCAAGUCACCUGCUGAUAAGUUCUACAAAAUCUUCAAGGGCCAAGCCCACCUCAUCCCAAAUGUUUCUUCUGGCCAUAUCAAAGGCGUUCAGGUGCAUGAAGGAGAUUGGGAAACGCACGGCUCUGUUAAGAUCUGGAAUUAUCAUCUAGGUAAUUAAGUAACUAUGGUGACCCACUUAGGACAAGUUUAGUUAUUUUCUGUUUCAUUGUUAACUAUAUGAUAUGGGUAUGAAAAAAACAUCAUAAGAUGAGCUUAUAUAUAUUUUGUUGUUGUGAAAUAAAUAUGACAGGGGACGAAGUUCGGACAAUCAAGGAAAAGGUUGAGUACGACGACAAGAACAUGGCGGCAACUCAUAUUGGAUUGGACGGAGAAGUGUUCAAGUAUUACAAGAGCUUUAAGGGCAUCUAUCAGUUCGCUCAAAAGGGUGAUGUUUGCGUAGCUAGCCUGACGAUUCACUAUGAGAAACGGAAUGCGGAUGUUGAAGCUCCAGAUAGAUAUGUUGGUCUCAUGGUUACCCUCGUCAGGGAUCUUGAUGCUCACUUUGCCAAGGCAUAAUCGAAUAUCAAAAGCACAUAUAUAUGUUAAUGCAUGCUUUGUCUGGUUAAUAUUAUAAGUAAUGCUUUGUUUUAUGUAAGUUUUUCUUUAUGGCAAUUGCAUGAGGGGAUUUCAUAUGUGAUAUAUUGUGAUGUAUUAGCUAUGUGGGUUAUCACAUACAUAAAAUAAAAUGCGUGGUGUGCUAUAUAUAUAUCUUCAGUUCUUGAUCAUCAUUCAUAUAUCAAGUACAAAAUAGACUUAAAAAUCAACAAUAUCCAACUGGUAUAUGUUGCGCGCUUGGAUUCAAAGUACUUGAAGAUCAAAAAUUGAAGUAUGUUGCGUGCUUGGAUUCGAAUUUCACAUUGAACACAAGCUAAAAGUAGUAAAAAGUAGUCGAAGCAGCUGGAAGCUCUUUCCUUCAUCAUUUGCGCUCUCCUUUUCCCUCUUCGUCUCUCUCUUUCUUUAUCUCUCUGCCCUUCUUCCCUAUGAAAUUGCUGGUUUACUUUAAUAUUAACAAUCGACAUAAAGAAAAGAAAGUGUAGCUGGAUGCGACUAAUGAAGGAUAGAUACCACAAAGAAAAAAGUUUUCACGUUCUUCCAUUCCAUAAGCAACACUGAAAAAUUUCCUAAUAAUGUAUGGACGAAACUCUCAUGACAACUAAUCCAAAGCAAACACAACUCAACCCAGCCGGCAGUGCAAUAAGCACCCUCCCUCUCAAAACCCAUGACGUAACAUAAUCGUGUUAAUUAAUGCGUGCUUUGUUUAAUUACAAGUAAUUAAAGAAAAAUGCUUUGCCAUGUGUUUGUGUCAAGAGAUGUCAUAUGUGAUAUUGUGAUGUAUUAACUAUGGUCAUCACAUAUAUAAAAUAAAAUGAGUGGUCUGCUGAUGUGUCCAGUUUUUGCUCACAUUCGUUAUAUCAACUACAAAUAGCCUUAAUACUUAACAAGUGAAAAAAAAAGAAAAAAAAAAGAUCUAUAUAAAAUAAUAAAAAGAUUGGGGAUAAUUAUUGGACAAAGCCAAAGCUGAAUUGCGGAGAAGUUUUCCAAUUUUAGUUUGCAAUUUCCAUCUAGGAAAAUUCUCUAGUCCUUUGGUGUAUGGGUACACCAAAGGAUAUGGGCCGUUAGAUUGAGAUUAGUGGGAUAUGGAUGGACUAAUCUACACCUUUGAUAUAGAAAAUCUGGAAACCUAGUAUUGGAGGUAAAAAGGUUUAUUAAAUAUUAAAAUAUGUUACAGUCCAAUUGCCAAAUCGAUACCCAUCAAUUGUCAAAUCGUUACCCAUCAAUUGCCACAGUCACUUGACGUUUUAAUCAUGGUGUAAAAGCUCGUAAAUUCGAACUCAAAUUCUGUAAUUUACAAGAUUAAGGAUAGACUUUACAAUGUUAUGGACAUCUAUGUGCCAAAUAUUUUAAUAUGAUUCCUUAAGGUUGUAAACCAAUAUUUUUACAAGCAUAUAGAUAACAUUUACAAUGUUAUGGAACUCUCAAGUCCCAAAAACUGCAACAUGAGUAAUUAAUGUUGUAAAUAUUGGUUUUUACAAAAACUAAGAACAAUUUUACUUUUUAAGGUCCAACCAAACCUUAAUAUUGUAAUCGACAUCAUUUUCAUUGUAAAUUAGGCUAUUACAAUAUUAUGGAUUAGAGUCAACCUUGUAAUUACGAUGCAAAAGCUCAUAAAUUCGAACCAAAAUCUUGUAAUCUACAAUAUUAAGGAUAGACUUUGCAAUGUGACAAGACGUUUAGGUGUCAAACAUUGUAAUAUGAGUCCAUAAUAUUGUAAGCCUCUGUUAUUACAAUAUUAUGGAUAAAAUUUAAAAUAUUAGAGAACUCUCAUGUGCCAAACAUUUUAAUAUGAUUCCUUGAGGUUGUAAAUCAUUGUUUUUACAAGCUUAUGGAUAACAUUUACAAUUGUAUGGAACCCUAAGUUCCCAAAAACUGUAACAUGAGUCCUUAAUGUUGUAAAUCUCUGUUAUUACAAGAUUAUGAAUAAAAUUUAAAAUGUUAGAGAACUCUCAUGUGCCAAACAUUUUAAUAUGAUUCCUUAAGGUUGUAAACCAUUGUUUUUACAAGCUUAGGGAUAACCUUUACAAUUGUAUGGAACUCUAAGGUCCCAAAAAUUGUAACAUGAGUUCUUAAUGUUGUAAAUCUCUGUUAUUACAAGAUUAUGGAUAAAAUUUAAAAUGUUAGAGAACUCUCAUGUGCCAAACAUUUUAAUAGGAUUCCUUAAGGUUGUAAACCAUUGUUUUUACAAGCUUAGGGAUAACCUUUACAAUUGUAUGGAACUCUAAGGUCCCAAAAACUGUAACAUGAGUUCUUAAUGUUGUAAAUCUCUGUUAUUACAAGAUUAUGGAUAAAAUUUAAAAUGUUAGAGAACUCUCAUGUGCCAAACAUUUUAAUAUGAUUCCUUAAGGUUGUAAACCACUGUUUUUACAAGCUUAGGGAUAACCUUUACAAUAUUAUGGAACUCUAAGGUCCCAAAAACUGUAACAUAAGUCAUAAUAUUGUAAAUUCUAGGUUUUACAAGAAUAAUCACUACAAGAAAAAUGUUCUACAACAACAUGUCAUUAACAACAUGCAUAGGUUGUGCGUUGUGGAUGUGGGCUUUCACAGCGUGUUGCAAUAGUGUGUUGUAGUACAUAGAGUUUAACAACGUGUAUUUACGGUACAUUGUUGAACGAAAUUUAGAAAUUUUUUUGACAACGCACCUUGGCGUGCUGUUGUAUAUUUAGUUCAACAACAUGCAUCGCAUGUUGUCAAAAAUAUAUCACUUUUCUACAAUAAUAAAGAAAAAAAGGGAAAAAAAUUGAUAAUAAAAAAAAAUUCCAAAUUUUUUGCUGGAAAAACUCCCUCUCAUUCGACCAAAAAAAAAGAAACUCCCUCUCUCUCAAAAUCUGAAAUGUUCUAAAUAUUUGACAAGCUCUCUACAUCUUCUAAAAACUCUCUCUCUCCAUCGUCACAACCCAAUCUCCAAAAUUUUCUCUACUCUUAAAAAUUCAAUCAAAGACCCACGAAAUCUAAACUCUAACCAUCCCUCAAGCCUCCAUGGCAGAAGCUUGAAGCUCUCUCUCUCUUUCUCUCUCUCUCUCUCUCUCUCUCUCUCUCUCUCUCUCAUCAGUAACUUUUAGGGCUAGGCAUCUGAGGACCGCCCUCGCCGCCUACUCGAUGUCACACGCCACUGCACAGAUGCAGACCAUUGGCUAGCUCUGAUUGGGAGUUGUUCAUCUUCGAUAUCUACAAUCGGGUAAUUGAGUUCCCUUUUUGUCCCUGCUACUGAAGAUUAGGGAUUAAUUUUCAUUUGGGUUAUGUUUGAUUUAUAGCUUAUUUAUAUCUUCGAUUUGCUUUAUGUGAAUUCUUGUGUAUAACCUAAAUUGUAAAUUUUUACAAAAGCAUUAACAUAUAAAGGGUUUUGGAAUGGUACAAAUCUCCUGUGUUUAUUUAUUUAUUUAUUUUCUGUUCUUUGUAUUUUCAAUGUUUCUUUUUGUCUUGCCAUUUUGUUGAAUCUUGUGUGUUAUUUCACCUUCAGAGGAGAGAUUUAUAAAGUACUAUGAGAGUCUAACUGAAGAAAAGACAUGUAUGUGUACAUGUAUACUAUUUAUUUUUAGAAUCAGGGGAAGAUGAGAAAGUACUAUGAGUAUUAGGUUAUCUUUAUCACUUCUAAACACUCCAAACUGAGCUCAGUACAACUUGUCUGUCUAACUUUAGUUAAAGUUUUCUACUUGAAGAAUUAUACGUAUUGGGUUUUCAAGUUUUCUACCUGGUAUAAUAUUUAUUGUUACUGUAAUUAUACAUGCUUUUCUCAUAAGGUCCCAUUUUGGUGAUGGAUAGACAAGCGUGAGGAGAUGGAGGACUCAUAAGCCGGAGUUACAUCCUACUUUGUACAUGGAGAUUUGUGGGAGUCUUUCAAGGACUGGAGUGCAUACGGUGCAUGGGUCACAAAAUGGGAGUGACUCUGUUAUGUACUAUGUUCGUUAUUUGUCUGCUAUUCAGCUCUAUGUAGACCCAUCAAAGCCCUCCACAAGAAUAAGGUCAACAAUAUCGUAAACACAAGACUUUCAAUCAAUUCAGUCUAUGUGAUUUGUCUGCUUAAGCACUCUGGAUUAUAGUUUAUGUUUGUAGCUGCUAACUCUGAUGCAAUGUUCAUUCCUUAAUGUUUCUGUUCAUCCUUUAUUGUGUCUAGUUUAUGGGUUCACAUAAAUGUCAUUUUGUGGGGAAAAUCUUGAGGAAAUUUGAAUUUAGUGACUGAAGCAGAUGGAGCAUGCUGUGCAUUUUGGUGUGAUUAAUUUUUUCAUUAUCAUUGUUGGAUUCCUUGCACUUCUAUUGAGGUUGUUAUAUAUGAUCUCUUUGUUGAGUCACUCUCUGAGAUUUAGUUGCCUACUUACCCUGAUUACAUCUGUCUAUUACAAUGUCCUGAAAUCUUGAUUGUAUUUUUAUGUUAAAAUGUUCUGUUAAUGCCUUCAUUUACUGGCCCUUCACUUGUAGCUUAAAAAUUGUAUUACAAAAUCCACCAUUUCUUUGAAUGGAAUGGUCAAGGCGAUUGUGGAUACCACUUGGUUGAUUGGGUUACAAUUUGUUUUAAAUGUUGCUGAAUCUUGCAGUAUAUGGGGAAAUGGAGGUGAUAAUAGGCAGUGGAAAAUAUGUAUUUUGAAAUUAGGUUGUGAAGAAGAAUUAUGGUAGUGUAAUGGGGGUUGGUCCGUUUAUCAGGUGAGGCAUCUUAUAGGCAGUGGAUGACAAGAUCUUUAAUAUGAUGCAUGGUGCGGUACUUAUAUUUAGUGUUACUUUGUGGUAAAGUGAAUGUCUUACAGUUUGUGGCAUAAUCUCACCUUGACUUGGCAAAAUGUUGCCCAGAGUUGCAUGCUAAUAGCUAGUUUGUACUAGAAUAGGUAUGUGCAGUAAAAUCUCCAAAAAGAAUUAUAUAUAUAUUCAUAGCUUUUCAUGGAGAUACAUUAUAGGUUAUGCAAGUAUUUCUUUUGACAGUAGACUUCUUAGCAAUUGCAAUAAUUUGUUAUUAUUUAUUUUAUUAUUUUGGUUAUGUCUAUGUUUUUUAUUUGCUCAUAGCCUUCUGGAAUCACUAUGCCAAAUUUCACUUUUAGCAACACUACAUAGGCAUCGGUGAGUAGAAAAAUCGAUGCUAUUAGUAAAUUAGGCAUCGAUUUCAUAAAUAACGAUACUAACAAAUAUAAAAACAUCAGCACAAAUUUUUGUUUUUUUAAUGACGAUGCCUUUAUUCCCCUUCACCAUCAUCUACACUAGCCUAUCUGCAUGCGCUUCCGCGCUUGCGAGAGGUUUUUUAAAAAAAAUAAGUAAAUUUAUUUUAGAAUUAAAAAAGAUAAUGGGUAGUUGUGUUCCAUAAAAAUAGGAUCCAUUAUCUGCUUUUUCUUUUUCUUUUAAUUUUUUUAAAUAUGAAAAAGUGUGAAUUUACCAUAUUAUCCUCAUUUAAUUAAUAAUUUGAAUUCUUAAUGUUUGCAUUAACCAAGGGUAUUUUCUGGUAUUUUGAAUGUUUCACCAUUCUCUCUGCCUUUUGCUUUAUAUAUAUAGAUAAACACAAAUGCCUAAAGGAUUAGUUUUUAUUUUAUUUUUAAGAGGGACAUUUUUUGGUAACAUCCCUCCGAUGCCUAAAGUCGAGUCAACCCUAACCCAAAAUUUUCAUGCUCUCCCUCGCAAACUGUCUGCCCAAAACUUCAUCUUCGUCCCGAACUCUAGCCCCAAUUACUUCCAGCUCCCUCUCAAUUUUUCACUCCCUCUCAAACUGUCCCCCUAAAACUUCAUCUCCUGAAAGUCUCUCUUUCUUCUCUCGCCUCCAUCACUGCCCCAUUCUUGCUAAAACUAUCAUGCUCAACCAUUACGAUUCACAGUGAGAAUCAUUCUUCCAUUUCAACGAUUCUCAAGCCAGCUCACACAAUUUCUCAAGCCCAGACUCUUAGACGGAAGUUUAAGUCGACGAUUGUGUGGUUUUGUCUAUCAGUGAAGCAUUUCCCUUUCCCCCAAAAGUUAGGGUUUUGAUCACACCCCACACCUCCUCUUCUGGUAAGCUUUUCUUCUCUCUUCACAACUAAAAUUUAGGUUAAACAUUCUUUCUCUCAAUACUGGGAAAAUCUUUAAAGUUUUUGGAGUUGCAGAGCCGUAACUUUUAGAAAUUGUUGUUGUUACAUUUUCCUAAGCAAGCAUCUGCUACUAAUUUGUCUUUUUGGAUUAGAAAGUCUAAAAUUGUCUAGAGAUCUACAAAGCUGUUAACUUGGGAUUAAAUGAUACAGCAGUUUUAAUAAUCAGCACCAGAUCAAUUUUUUUAAAUAUUUUUUUUGUAGCUUUUUGUUUUAAUAUUCCAUAGCAAUUAGUGUUAGGGAAUGCUUUUAGUGGACUGUGUAUAUAAACCCUCGUUCCCUCACUCUUUCAAUCUCAUAGCAUAUCCCCACACUCUCAGAACUAGUACUUGUGCCAUCUUUAAUCUUCAACGGAAAACAUGGAGCAAACUUUCAUCAUGAUCAAGCCUGAUGGGGUUCAAAGGGGCCUUGUAAUUUCUUCAAAUUCUUCAUCUAUUGUAUUCUUUUGGUACUUCAAUUUUAUAGCUUUAUUUUGGUCUGUUAGUUUUAAGAACUGGGCAAAAUCUUAUGUGUGUUUGAGUGGGUUUGCCUAAGUUCUUGUUUUUGUUUAUGAAUUUCAUAGCAAGUGUUACUGGUAUGGUGUUUGGUUGGUGAGAAAACCUAGGAAUUGAAGGGUUUGGUUUUCUUUUGUGUGGACUGGGGAGCAAGCAAAUUUUAACAAUUCUGAGCUGGGAUUUUAGGUUUUUAUUUACAUGCAUCAAGUUUUAAUAUUUGUAGUAUGUAGUGGUUGGAUUUUACAUGCAUAAUCUUGCGUUUUAAUUAUUUGUGGAUGUGUGAAGUGGGUGAACAAAAGCCGUCCUUUUUAACUUCGGCCGUAGCUUUUUUCUUACAUAGAAUUCAAUAAACUAUUUUAAUUCAAUUCGGGGUCGUUUGGUACGGCGGACUGUUAUGGACUGGACUAAAUCCUGGGACUGUCUUGGAGUAACUCGGAUUGGACUAAGCUAGAUUAAGUACUGACCUGCGUUUGGUGCUGUAUCGGACUAUGAAGCUAGAUUGUAAAAAUAGUGAAGACCUAUGUUUGGUGCUCUGUCGGACUAAAAAAUAAUUAUUUACAUAUUUUUCAAGUGAAUUUUUGCUAAUUUAUGUUCUAAAAAAAGAUUUAAAACAAAUAAAAACUUGAUAUUUUUUUAAAGGCUAAAAUUAUCAUAAAUAAUGAAAAAUAUAUAAUUUAUUAAAUAAAAAAUUAUGGCAUUUUUGCUUGAUGUCAACUGCAUGUGCCAAUCAUCAGAGUUUUCGUUUUUGUUUUUUUUGUUUUUUUUUGUUUUUUGUUCCCUUCUUCUAUUUCUCAAAGGCUGACAAACCCGAAGUCCCAGCACAAGAUAUGCAAACUUCACAGAUCUAACUUCGGAUGUUUUUAUGUAUUAAAAAAAAAAAAACCGUGCAAACUUUCCAAUCAAACCUCUCAUUGAACACCUCAUAACUUUUGAUCCUCCCUCUUUUUAGCUUUUUCUCAAAUUUUCUUCCCUGCAACACGCUUCAGUUGUGAUUCUCUCACAAAUUUCAUCAAUUCUUCCUAAUCACUUUUCAUUUACUCAAUUUGUUCAUAUGAUGAACGAUUCAAACUCAAUCUCACGCCUUGCCAUCAUCUUCUCCACUCUCUGCGUCUGCCAUGGCUGCUUCGACCUUGCACCAAUUCAAUGAAUCAUGGCUUCUAUUAUGAUAGCCAAACAGAGACCCCAAGACUCGUCGUCCCCAACCCACCUGUAAGACCAAACCUCGGACUAUUUCAACGACCAUCAGCAGCAGCAAGAUCUCAAGGCAAUUAUUGGGUUUCAAGCCUUUUUGAUGAACUUGAGCUCGGAAGUGAAGGACUUGGCGUUCGUUGCCCAGACUCGUGUCUAGGUGAAGAAGAAGAAAUUGGUUUCGCGUUGGACUCGAGUAUUCCGUUUUGCGAGCUUCGCUGUUUUGUGAGCCAUGUUUCAAGCUCGCUAAAUUGGAAGAGCGAGUGAGGCAAUUUUUUUACUGUUGGACUAUAUAAUCUCAUUUAAGUUAGUCCCUUUCCUUACCAAACAUGGGUUUCAAGUGUUAUUUAACGUAGUCCAAUCCAGUGAGGCCUCCCAAACAUGCCCAUGCGUAUUGUUUAAUUAUGUGAAGGUUUUCAAAUUUUCUGAGAGGUUCAUGUUUGUUGCAGGUUGGUGACAUCAUUAGCAGGUUUGAGAAGAAGGACUUCUAUUUGAAAGGUAAUUUCCAACCAACGAUGUUUGAUCUUGUAUGAUUAUGUGCACUUUAAUAAUUUGUGACAAUCCUAUUUAACAAGCCUUUCCUGUUUUAUAAUGAUUAUCAACUUGACUUACAGACAAAAACUUUCGGACAUCAAAUUUGAUGUAUGGCUUACAGUUUUGUGUGUUAAUUAUACUACAAUAAGUUUUUUGGGAUGCUUAGCUAAAUUUGUAUGUGUAACUUAUCACGAAUUUCUUCUCAAUAAGGUUUUUUUUUUUUUUUUUUCUGGUAUCUGUUCAGUUUUGAAGUUCAUCAAUGUGGAUCGUCCUUUUGCUGAGAAACAUUAUGAGGACUUGUCUGCAAAGCCCUUUUCAGUGGAUUGGUUGAUUAUAUUAUUUCUGAUCCCGUUGUUGCUAUGAUUUGGGAGGGUAAGAAUGCUAUCCUAACUGGUCGAAAGAUUAUUGGUGCCACCAACCCAGCAGAAUCUGCCCCUGGAACCAUCCGUGGUGAUUAUGCAAUUGAGAUUGGCAGGUAACCUGAUUUACCAUGUUUUCCUGUCUCUUUUGCAUUUAUAACUUUUUUAAUUAUUAUGUUUUAAUUUUUUGGUCUGAAAGAUGAGUAUAUAUGAUGUGGGAUAUGGGUGAAUUGGAUAUUUAGGUAGUUUAGCGGAAGCGAAAACAAUGGAAAACAGAAAAUAGAACAAAAGGGAUAGGUCUGGAAUCACUUCAGGGGUUUGGCUUCACACCAAGUAGUCUCCAAUCUCUGGAAAUAAGCUUUUCUUUAUAUCUCAACAACUGAAUUUUAAAGAACUACAUGGAGGGUAUUUAUAGCAAACUAAAACCUAGAGACAGUAGGAUAAAAAUCCCUUACUAAAACAGAAAUCCUAAUCCACCAAGGAACUAAGUAAAAAUAAACUAGGAAACUUAAAUCAAAUCCUACUAAAUUCUAGAAACUAAAAUCCUAGUGAAAUCUGGAAAACUAAAGAAUCUAGGAAACUAAUAAAUCAGGAAACUAACUAAUGAUGUCCGCAUCAAUUCCCCCUGGCUGAAAAGAUCUUGACUCUGGCGAGAUAAAGCUGUAAUAACAUUCCAAAACGUCGGGAUCAAUGUGCGGCAGGUUCUCCUUUGUAAUCCGAGUACUAUGAGAAUCUGGUCUAACUUCCACUUGACUAGGAACUUCUGCAUCUUCCUUACAUUCUUUAAGCGUAACGAUAUGUAGAGCUUUGGUUUUACCUACUUUGUCUUGCUCCUCUUUGUUUGGUAUAGAUUGAUUCAUGAGCUUGGGUUGAAGUGGCUUCAUCGUGAUCUUCUUUCCUUUAUGGAUGAAUGAAGAUAUAUUUUCUUGACCCAAGAUGGUAACGUUGUAAUCGUAGAUCCAUGGUCUUCCCAAGAGAAUACGACUCACAUCCAUAUCCACCACAUCACACCAAACAUGAUCUUUGUAAGAUGAAAACUGUAUAGGAAUGUGACAUCGUUGGGUAACAGGGAUAGAAGAUGUAUUGUCAAUCCAUGCUACUCUGUAUGGCACAAGAUGCUUCUCGGGCGACAAACCAAGACGCGAAACAGUUAGCGUUGACACCACAUUGAUACAACUCCCAUUAUCCAUGACCACCUUACAACCUUUAUCUCCAGACUUGAUGUAAGUGUGGAAAAUGGAAGUCCUACGCCAAUCCUCAGCUUCCUUCCUAGGUUGAGCCAAAGCGCACCUUACUACUGCUAAUGUUGGAUGAGGGACUUCAAAGUCGAUUCCACAAUCUUCAUCAGGUUGUUGGGGUUCAUAAAUAUCUUCCUCAAAUUUGCCUUGAUUGUCGGCUUGUUCGUUGAUGCGUGCACACAGAUUUCUUGUUGCCUCCUUCGUUGGGCAUUGGACAGCAAAGUGCCCAAAACCUUGGCAUCUGUAACAUCUUUGCGUUCCACCACCACGUGUAUCAACUAGCACUCCUUUUCCCUUGGCAGUUUUUACUAAAUUAGUCGUAGAUGUUGGAGUCAUAGAACUUGGAGUCACAGAUGUGCCAACAUGAAAAUCAGAUCUUUGAGAAUCAGUUUGCUUGACUACAUUGGACGACUUUAAAUACUUCUCUAAUUCUUGUACCUUCUGAAAAACCCUCUCUAAAGUAUUCACAGUAUGAGGAAUUAAUUCCCUUUGAAGCUCUGGACGAAGUCCUGAUCUAAACCGAGAAAUAGUCAUCCUUUGAUCUUCCCUUAUGUCACAUCGCAACAUGAAUUCCUCAAAUUUUGCAAUAUAUUCAGCAACUAGCAUGUUGUCUUGACGAAGAGUUUGCCAUUCGUCCAACAAACUCUGUUGAUAGGAUAAUGGUAGAUAUUUCUGCUUCAACCUUUCUUUCAUCUCACCCCAAUGGAUGAUUGGUUCUUCACCAGCUCUUUCUAGCUGUGUUUCGACAUUGGUCCAAAACAAUCCAGCUUGACCCACCAAUUUUAUCUUAGCAAAUCUCACUCUUCGAGCUUCAGACAUGUCAUGCCACUCAAAGUAGCGAUCCAUGGCAGCUAACCAGUCGAGGAGUGCUUUAGGAUUUAGCUCACCAUCAAAAUUAGGAGCGUCAACUUUCAUUGAUCUCCUCACCCUUUCAUCACGGUUUUGCUCAUAGCCACGAUGAAAGUUGUGUCUCUCUACGUCUCAAUCAUUCCUUCCAUCAUGACGUCGUCGCUCAUGAUUCCUCUCUUCUCCAUUCACACUUGCUUCAUCAUGUUGGUUAGCUGCUUCUAAGUCUGCAAGGCGACGUUCCACGAGUCUGGAUCUAGUGUCCGAAUCUGCCACUUGCUUUGAUAGGUUUUCCAUCAUCUGAAAAAGUCGUUCAAAGUCCGUCUCUCGCUCGUCUGUCUUUCCAGGCUUAGUCGGAGCCAUCACUUGACACACAGCGUGAAGAACAAGAAAUACUGGAAAAUUUUGAACCCAAGGAAAACAAAAACCAGGCUCAGAUGCCAAAUUUGAUGUAGGAUAUGGGUGAAUUGGAUAUUUAGGUAGUUUAGCGGAAGCGAAAACAAUGGAAAACAGAAAAUAGAACAAAAGGGAUAGGUCUGGAAUCACUCCAGGGGUUUGGCUUCACACCAAGUAGUCUCCAAUAUCUGGAAAUAAGCUUUUCUUUAUAUCUCAACAACUGAAUUUUAAAGAACUACAUGGAGGGUAUUAAUAGCAAACUAAAACCUAGAGACAGUAGGAUAAAAAUCCCUUACUAAAACAGAAAUCCUAAUCCACCAAGGAACUAAGUAAAAAUAAACUAGGAAACUUAAAUCAAAUCCUACUAAAUUCUGGAAACUAAAAUCCUAGUGAAAUCUGGAAAACUAAAGAAUCUAGGAAACUAAUAAAUCAGGAAACUAACUAAUGAUGUCCGCAUCAAUAUAGGUAGUGUUGAUGGCUAUAUAGGUAAUGUGACCCCAAAUUGUUCUCUUGAGAAAAUGCUCAACAGUAACAGCUUAUUAUGUUAAUGGGAAAGCUGUUUCAAAUAGAUUGUUUGAACCUUUGAUUGUUGCUAAAAUUGUUGAUGGUUCCAAUUAGGCAGAAACACAAUAGUCCAAUCUGUCCAGGAGUUUUAUGGUUUGAUUGCAUCUCCUGUGUUAUUCACAUAAAUUUCAAUUUCUAGUGAAUUUCUUCUGAGAUAGUAUUUUGACUGAUUUAUUCACUGAGGUUUCGGUUUGCUUCUAGAAUACAAACUAAUCAUAAAAAACAUGCACUGAGAAUGUGAAUAUAUUUGAUGCGAUGAAAUUUGGUAAAGUGGUAAACUUCGUUUGUUUUAUGCUUGUUAUGUUUUACAUUCUAACUACUAUAUAUGUAAUUGUAUAUAUAUAAUUGUAGAAGAAGAGGGAAACUAUACAAAGGAAAAAAAGCCUCUGUAUAUGUCAUGAAGAUUUUAACUUGAAUUACAUUUUGCAUGCUUGAAUAAAGCUGUGUUUGUCUUUUUUUAGCUGUACUGUUUAGUGCUUAUCAAUAGUUCUAGGGGUCUUUUGUGUCAAUUUGUUCCUGCAAUAUCUAUUUUGUCUCUUGAGGAUUGCAAAUCAGUUAAACAUGGGGUGAUGUUAACGGUAUUAUGGUUUACUUUAUAGAUCCUCUUUAACUGCUAACUGAUGUAUUUGACUCAACCUUUGAUUUCUUGUUGGUUCUGUUUUUAGAGUCAUCUGCACAUGUCAAGGAAGACAAUUUCAAUAUUGCUAACAAGUCUAAACUGAAAGGGAGUCGUCCAAUUCCUGGGGUUGAACAUGCUGCUUUUAAAACAUCUAAACUGGGCAAACUCGGAGGGAGUUCAUCAGUCUAAUAGUGGGCUGCAAAAAGGAAAACAGAAGAAGGUAAGGACAGAUAACACUUUUCCUACAAAUUCCUAUAGUUUUGCUUUACUUGUGUUACCCCAUAUGGUCUGUCUGGCUAUGGUAGGAAUUGAUGACCAUGUAUGACGUUAUUUAUUUGCAGAUAUAUAAUGAAGCUCAAACUGACUGCUAUGUGAGUGGCAAUGAAAAGAUUGAGGUAUGGGGUCCUUUAACCCUAACUUUUUCACAGUGUUUUCACUCUACAGAUGACUCUGGUGGUUUUAAAAAAGUUUGGAUGUUUUAAAUUGUAAGUCUAGAAGGUGGUCCCUUUUUUUCUUUUUCCUUUUUUUGCUAUGAAGAAAUAAGGCUUAGCAUACUUACCUUCAGAGGGUAAUGGCACAUUCUUUUGAUCUUUUAAAAAAUGUUUUUUGUACAGAGCAGAUGGUGAAACAUUCUUUAUAUGUUGCUGUUUUGAAAGUUCUGCAGUCUUUAGAUCGAAAUUAUUCAAAAGUUUCAUGUCAUUUCUUAUGGUAGUCUCAAAUCACAAUUGGUUUUCUUUAUAAUUUUCAUGUGCCUAAUCACUUUUGACUUUUGGUAUUUAUAAUUGGUUUCAGGCCACAGUUGAGGUGGAAGAAGUCCGCGAGUAAAGGUAAAUGAUCUUCACAUUAUACAACACACACAAAGCAAGGGAAAUUGGUGAAGAAGACUCUACGGAAUGCAUCUUCUACUACUGAUCGUAAAAGGGAAGAAAACAAUUCAGGUUUAUCAACAGUACAAGUUCCAUCUGCAAACCCGGCCAACUUACCUACAAAAAACAGGGGUAAAUGGGAGAUAGACAUGCAGAAAUCAUCAAUACAGAAGGAUGCAAAGUCUCCUGAGAGUAUUUUAGAUGACCAACCUGAUAAACUGGUUCCUUCAUUACGUAACAGAGAACUAAAUUAAGGUAAACGUGUCAUCAUUUAUAUUGCCAUCUGAAUUGUUUGAAUAUUUGAUUAUGUUUUUUAUAUAUGUACAUCUACAUUUACAGGAAAAGCUUUCUAACUGCUUAUCUCGGUAUCAAGUGCGGAGAUGGUGUGCUUUUGAAUGGUUUUACAGUGCAAUUGAUUACCCAUGGUUUGCUAAAAGGGAGUUUGUGGAAUACUUGGAUCAUGUUGGAUUGGGUCAUGUUCCAAGAUUAACUCGUGUUGAAUGGGGUGUAAUAAGGAGGUAGAUGUCCCUGAUCUGCUUCUUUCACUGGAACUUUUUGUUUGGCCAGUUUUGACUUGCCUUUCAGAUUGAUAAUCUCUGCAAAUUUUGUUGUUGGUACUUGUUGAUGCAGCUCCCUUGGCAGACCACGGAGAUUUUCUGAACAGUUCUUGAGCGAAGGAAAAGAGAAGCUUAAUCAGUACCGGGAAUCUGUUAGAACUCAUUAUGCUGAACUUAAUGCUGGUACAAGGGACGGACUUCUGACUGACUUAGCUCGGCCUUUAUCAGUUGGACAGCAUGUCAUUGCUUUUCAUCCCAGGGCAAGCGAGAUCCACAAUGGAAUUGUCCGUUGACCAUAGUAGGUGUUCUGUGCAGUUUGACCAGCUUGAAUUAGGGGUUGAAUGUAUGAUGGUAAUUAGUUUCCUUCACUGAAUUUUAUGACAUAAUUACGUAUUUUUGUUAAGGAGAAUAUUUCAUUUUGUUGAAACCUUCACGGGAGGAACUUUCUUUGGUGGCCAAUAGAAUGCUGGUUUCAAAUAUCGUUGGAUAAGCCUUUAAAGCAGUUACAGAAAGAAAGAAAAAAUCUACAUAUUGUAUAUAUGCAAGUAGAAUAUCUGUCAGUUGGCCUAGAUUUGAAUUAUAAAUCUGUUCGAGUUCAGCCUCUUCAUUAAGAUGGACUUUUCUGGUACUAGUCCAAUUUAGUUGAUUCCAAUUUUUAGAAUGGUCAACUCACUUGAAUGUAACUUCUUAGGAAAUCAGUUAUUGUUAUUGUGCGUAUAUGGUCAUUAUUUUGAAAUAUAUUCUGUGUUUGCUUUUCCAUUACUUCUGAAGACUCUCUCUAUUCCUUUCGUUCUGCGAACAGACUAUUUUUACUUGUUUAUAUAUUGACACAGGUGUGAUGGAGAUAUCAUUGUUCAAAGCACUUGUUAAUAACAUAGAGCUAGACAAAAGGACACGUACACCCAAAUGGAAUUGGAUGAGGUGUGGAAUUGGAUGAGGAGCGAGAAGAAUUGGCAACUCAUGUCCUAUAAUGGCUUUUUGAUUGAACUAAACAUUCCUCCAUUUUUCAUGUCUUUCUAGCUAGUAUUUUGCAUAUAUAUAGACAAGUAUGGAUAAUUUGUGGUGUGAGGUUGGAAAAAUUGUGAUUUGGAUGUGAUAAGUAUGGAUCUUUCAAGUAUUUUGCUUAUAUAUAUAUAGAUAAAUAUGGAUAUAUUUAAAUUACUAUUUAUUUAUGUUUUUUAUGAGCAAUGGCAACACAACAUGAUUUGGAAAUGAUGCCUUUUCGAUAUUCUAAGACAGUAACCAAGUAAAGUGUGAUGUGGAACUUGCAAAAUGCCUACACUUUCCUUAUAUGAGUUAUGCCUAUUGUUUAUAACAACUUCAAUUUUGCAAAAAUAACUUGAGUUAAAAUAUUAAAACAACCACUAGACAUCUAUGAUCACUGAUGCCUAAAAUUAGAAAUAGCAUAAGCAUUUACAUAACAACCAGCGCUAUUGGAGGCUUUUAAUGUCCACAAAAUAGAAAAAGCGAUGACGUAUAACAUAAUUUGCAACAGCACUAUUUGCUUCUAAGAUGUUGUAAUUGAUAAUACGCAUCAGUAUAUGUGAUAUCAUUGAUGCUGUAAUUUCUCUUUAGCCACCUCCCUUUUAAAACCACUGAUGCUGUUUUAGGUUUAGGCAUCAGAAGUCAAUGGUUUUUUCGGCACAUGGAAAUCAUUUAUGCAUCGGAUUUUACCAAAUAUCCGAUGCAGUAACUAUAAAAAGGCCACGGAUAAUAUCCGUUGCCUAUUACAUAGUAAUAGGCAACAGGCUUGAAUACCAUGGUAUUUACAGGUAAUAGGCAACAAAGAUUUUAUCCGUUGCUAAAGGCCUUUUUGGCAUAGUGAAUUUUUUACCAGAUAACGACACGGGAGCAAAAUCACAAUCAAGUGAGUUUCCAUAGGUGUACCAUUCUUGCUUGGAUGCUCGGUUCUUGGAUCUCUUCAGGUGCUUCAAGACUUUGAAAUGUAACUAAUCAAUUUGCUAGACCAUGCUUAACAAAAUGUUGAAGUUUAAUUACUUUGAUAGUACAAUUUCCCUUCAUUUCCAUUUGGACAAAUGUAACUUGACAAUGAAUUUGUUGAUCUUUCUAAUGUGUAUGGAGCUAUUUUUAUUCUUAAUGAAAACUCACUAUUCUGGGCUAUCUUAUGGUUGAAAAGGAAGAAAAUAGUCAUACUUGGAUAGAUUGUAUUGUUAUAAAGUAAUUCCAAAAAUAAUAUUAAAAGUAAUAAUAUUUAGUAUCACAACAUGCAAAGAGUGUUGUUGAAAUGUAAAAACAACAACACGCGCAUGAACGUUGUUAAUCAGACAUACAACAACAUGCAGAACACAUUGUUGUUCUAUACUUUCACAACAUGCGCACGUUGCCAUUACUGGUGUUUACAACACGCGAUCAAAUCAAGGACAACAUGCAAAGCGCGUCACUGAAAGCCAUGGAGCUUUUAACGACAUCGGCUUCAACGUGUGUCGUGUGUUGUCAAUACGUUUUCACAACGCACAAUGUGCAUUGUUAAAUGACUUUUUUCUUGUAGUGAAUGAACCUUAUCAUUGUAAUCACAGUGCAAGAGCUUGUAAAUGUGCACCUAAAUCUUGUAAUCUACAAGAUUAAUGACAUACUUUUCAAUUGUAUGGAAUGUUUAUGUUUCGAACUGAUCCAAAACUUCUAGUCGAUAGAACUAUGAAUUCCUAGUUAUAUAGGAAUAAGGGAACGAGAGGAAUUUUAAGACAAUUAGAGAAACAAAAGGAAGAAGCUAAGGAACUGCUUUGAGUUCUGCUUUCAGAAUUGCUUGAUUCAUUUCAAUGAAUAACUUACGUAUUUAUACAAGGUUCGGUUGCUAAAAUUAACUCAACUAAAAUAGUAAAUUAUUUUAAGCCAUAAAGAAUGAAUGGCCUAAAAUCUUAAUCAUUUUGAAACUAUUAACUUUUUAUGGUUUAUAACAAUUCGUUAUAUAUCAUUGGUUUUUAUGGUUUUAAAUAAUUUAAUAAUAUAAUAUAAUAUAAUUACUUAUAAUUAUAUUAUAUUAUGUUUAUUUUUGUCUGCUGGUUCAUCGUUAAAGUUCAUGAAUUAUAUUACCAAAAAGUAGUACCUAAUUUUACAAUAAUGUAAUUAAAAAACAUCAAAAUUACACAAAAUGCCACUCCCUCUAAUUUUACCAAAACCAUGUUCCAGUUACACAAAACCUCCAGCAAUCCACCUUCCGGCCAACCGCCCAUCGCCGGGCCAGCACCUGCCGGCCAGCCACAGCAUCCAUAUUCUUGCCAGUCGCCGCCACCACCGUUGCCAGUUUCCGGCCAGCCACCGUUGCCAGUUUCCGGCCAGCCACCGCCGCCAUCUUCCUACCAGUCGCAGGCCGCCAGCCACUGCCAGUGUCCGGCCGGCUACCGCGCACCAGCCGCUGCCACAAACUUCCGGCCAGCCAUCACCGGUCACCAACUAUGUUGCCCUCAACCUAAAAAAAAUAUGAAAUUUAGUGUGUUUGAAGAGACUCGAACCUUGACCCUCAUAGGAGAGUCGCCUUAUUCACAAACCACUACACCAACCUUGUUUUUGUGAUUUUUUGUCAGUUAUGUAAUAUUUAUAUUAACAGUCGAGGGUUUUUAUAAAAAAAAAAAAAAAAAUUAUUUCAACAUUGAUACGUGCAAAAUUUGUACCAAAUCCCACAUGCUUAGCUCUAGAGUUAUGCAAAACAAAAUACUGUAGAUAUCAAUAAUGAAAAUAAAAACAAAACUUGUGUCAUCGCGAAUGGACUCGAACCUUGACCCUCAGAGGAAAGCUCACUCACAAACCACUACACCAAACUUGAUUUUGUAAUAUUUAUUCAAUUAUACAAUAUUUAUAUAAACAAUCAACGGUUUUAAAAAAAAAAAUUAUUUCAACACUUAUUCACACAAAAACUACAAAUAAAAACAGAAACUGCAACAAAAAUACAAUGUAGAUAUCAAUUAUGUUAUAAAAAAACAAAAACAAAAACAAAAACAACUACAAAAAUAAUUUGUAAUUAAAUUAAAACUGCAAUGCAGUUUCUAGCUUUCAAAAGUCCAAUUUUGAGUUCCCUUGCUCUUUGGUAGUUCUACUCUUCUCUUGCCCACCCAAUUCCUCAUAUGGGUAGCCUCUAUUCUUCAAAUUGAUGAGGUCGAAGGCUAAGGAAAGGACAAAAGUCAAAUUGUAAUUAAAUGAAAACUGCAAUGCAGUUUCCAGUUUCCAAAAGACCAAUUUUGAGUUCCCUUGCUAUUGGGUAGUUCUACUCUUCUCUUGCCCACCCAAUUCCUCAUCUAGGUAGCCUUUACUCUUCAAAUUGAUGAGGUUGAACGCCAAGGAAAGAACAAAAAUCAAAUUGUAAUUAAAUGAAAACUGCAAAGUAGUUUCCAAUUUCCAAAGGUCCAAUUUUGAGUUCCCUUGCUCUUGGUAGUUCUACUCUUUUCUUGCCCACCCCAUUCCUCAUCUGGGUAGCCUCUACUCUUCAAAUUAGUGAGGUUGAAGGCCAAGGCAAGAGCAAAAAUCCAAUUGUAAUUUAAUGAAAACUGCGUUGCAGUUUCCAAAACUGCAAUGCAGUUUCUAGUUUCCAAAAGUCCAAUUUUGAGUUCCCUUGCUCUAGGGUAGUUCUACUCUUCUCUUGCCCACCCAAUUCCUCAUCUAGGUAGCCUUUACUCUUCAAAUUGGUGAGGUUGAAGGCCAAGGAAAGAACAAAAAUCAAAUUGUAAUUAAAUGAAAACUGCAAAGCAGUUUCCAAUUUCCAAAAGUCCAAUUUUGAGUUCCCUUGCUCUUGGGUAGUUCUACUCUUUUCUUGCCCACCCCAUUCCUCAUCUGGGUAGCCUCUACUCUUCAAAUUAGUGAGGUUGAAGGCCAAGGAAAGAGCAAAAAUCCAAUUGUAAUUUAAUGAAAACUGCGUUGCAGUUUCCAAAACUGCAAUGCAGUUUCUAGUUUCCAAAAGUCCAAUUUUGAGUUCCCUUGCUCUUGGGUAGUUCUACUCUUCUCUUGCCCACCCAAUUCCUCAUAUGUGUAGCCUCUACUCUUAAAAUUGGUGAGGUUGAAGGCCAAAGAAAGAACAAAAAUCCCUCAUAGUUUUAUCACCCAAAACCCAAAAAUUGACAAAAGUGUUAAACAAUAAACCCAUUAUUAAAUAGACAAAUCUACCAACCAAUAACUGGAACAAUUAACUAAUUCCAACUAUCAACUAGUAAAAGUACAUUUCAACACACUGCACAAGUGAGAAUGGAAGUUCUAUUACACUCCAAGCAUUGCAAGUUUGUUGUCUGCCCGUCACAUUUGGUCUCUAGCUUGAUAAUGGAACUACUAAUUACAAAUACAAUCCAUACUUGUAAUAAAAAAUAUGGUAUUAAGAGUAACAGCCAGAACUCAAUUAGACCAUUUCGUAACAAAGACUACUUAAGGACACCUUAAUGGAAAGAUAACUCAGUCAGUUAACCAACUAGAUAUUCAUCGAAAAUAUCCAAAACUGCUCAUACAAAUUUCUAAACAAAACAAUAAAAAUCCAAUUGUGUAUUUCCAUACUUGAUUAGAAAUUUCACUGUCAAAAACCUCAAAUAAAUCCAAACAAUAGACUGCACAAAGAUUAUGUUCACUAUCAAAGUUCACCAUGGCUGCAAAAUCAUGUCAUACCAACAUUGAAGCGCCAAAUACAAUACUCAGUUUAGAGAAACAAGCCCAAAAAUUUGAUCCCAAGAACAAAACCUUCAAUUUCUGUGCAAAAUCGCAUGAAUUGAGAAAUCCUUAUAGCAAUCAACAGGAACCCAAAAAAAAGUUGCGAAAAAAAUCCUUACCUUGGCAAAAAAAUCCUUACCUAUUCUUAUUCUUUUUCCACGCAAUCGUUCCAGUACCAAUUCAGCUUGAAUCCCUAAUUAGCCCAAAUUAAUCAAACACUUUUCAUUUUUCAUUCAUACAAAUCCAAAUGGGAACAAAUUAGAAUAAAUUUCUAGUUUCUAUGUUAAGCACGUACCGGUAUUGAGGGGUAUUUCGUAGGCUUCUUCGUGGCCUGCGUCCAUGGCGAAGUCGCCGGCGGAGAGAUUGGAAAGAGAUAGGGCGUCCAUGGCGCGCCAGCUUAUAGAAUAGUCUUGACGGUGUCUCCAUGGCCUAGCUUGGCUGCGUGCAUCAGUGGGUUCCCACCCGGUACGGACUUGAACGUGAUGGCUUGCUUUUAGAUGGCGUAUCAGGACGGCAGUGGCUUCAUCGCGACAAGGAGUUGCAGAGAGCUCCGUUGUCGUAUAAGAGAGGAUGAGAUCAAAUUUGGCGAAGGCUUUUAAUAAACAAAAAAGGGUAAAAUUGUAUAUUACCUUUGCAAUUUUGAUAAGCCCAACGAAUUUGGGCCUCCAUUUUGGCUAAAUCCAAAACAAAAUUUGAUUUUCAUGUAUCAAAACCCAAACAAAAAUAGCCAAAAUCUCAAAUACUAAUUAAUAAAGUUACUUAUGUCUAAUACCUAAUUUUUCUGUUAAUUAAUGCGUGCUUUGUGUAAUUACAAGUAGUUAAAAAAUGCUUUGCUAUGUAUUUGUGUCAAGGGAUGUCAUAUGUGAUAUUGUGAUGUAUUAACUAUGGUUAUCACAUAUAUAAAAUAAAAUGAGUGGUGUGCUGAUGUGUCCAGUUUUUGCUCAUCAUUCGUUAUAUCAACCACAAAUAGCCUUAAUACUUAACAAUUAUAACAAGUUACAACCCAACUGGUUUGGACGAAAAUGUUCAAUUAACUAUUGGGAGACUUUGGAAAAACCCAAAGGAGAUUACAGAGCAGAUUACAGAAAAAUGAAAAAAAAUGCAUUUAUUAUAAGACUGUUGUAAUUGACAUUGAGAGAAGAGAGAUUAGGAAAGGCAGAGAAGUCAAACCUGUUGAGUGUUCCAUCAAGGCCAGAAUCCACCAAAUUUAUUUCAACAAUGCUGCCAGCUUCAUUGCACUGAAUUCCAGUCCAGUUGCAAGGGCUGCUUCUGCUGCUAGUGAGAGUCCAUGAUGUUAAAGAAGAAGAGCUUAAACUGAUUUUCCAGUUUAGCAGAGCUUCUGCUUCAGUUUGUGCAUGGAUUGCUCAGAAAAAGCCCCAGCGUCAGCGCCAAACACCGGCAACUACUCAGAAAAUGCCCCCUGCUUCUCCCAUCCCCGUCGACACCAACUCCGUUUCAAAAAGGUCAGCCCUUUUCUUGGAUUCGCUGUUUGGAUCCCAAGAUCAUUCAAUUCGCAACUAAACUUGGUUUGUUUCAAUGCUGUUGUAGGCUUCAGAAGGAGUUGAUGUCUCUGAUGGUAUGAUAUGUUUCUCUCUUUUAUUACUUUGUUUGGAAAAAUUCUUUGCUUUUGAUUUUGCCUGAAUCUCUGUUAAUCUUUCAUUUCUUGUUAUAUUUGUUUAUUUUUGUCUAAAUCUCGAACUGGGUUUUCUGUGGGUUCAAUCUUAAUUUCAUAAGCUGAAACUUGAAGCAUAAUCUAGAAGAAAAAAAAAAGAAGGGGACUUUCUUGAUUCUUGAUAAUCCUGGGAUGAUGGGGAUGUGUGGUGCAGAAGUUAGGUAGGUAGGUGUGUGUGUGUGUGUGUGUGUGUUCUCUAGGAAUUCAAUGCAAAGCAUCAGAUUAUGGCUGCACUGCGUGUGUGGUUGUCUGAGAAGUCUUAACCAUUAUCACACUUCCACUUGUAGGCUUUACACACUGGAAGGAUAUGUUGUUCUGUGCUCAAUUAAAAGAUUGUCAACUGCUCAUUUAGUUUUUCACAUUCCAUUGAUAUUUUACUGACAAACUGCUGUUCUUUGCAGUCUUCAGUCCUUCUUCCAGUUGUGAUGACUCUUAUAGCAACACGACCACAAGAUAGUGAAUUUCUAAAGAUUUUAGCUAAAUUUUGCUAUCCUAAGUGGGCUUUAGAAGCAUUUGUGAUUGCAAAUGCUGAAAGGUACUGCGCCAAUUUCCCUAUAUCUGAAAAAGUGAUUAGAAUUCUAUUACCUACUGAAAGUGAAAACGUUACCCCUUAAUCUAGCAAUCUGCUGAUGGAGGAGUCUAACUUUGUAAAUCCGAGAACUGAAAUGGAAGUGUUCGCUCAUGCUGCGAAUUACAAAGAGGCUAGCCGGAAGACCACCAACGAAGAGGAUCAAAACUUUUGGUGAAGGUACAAGGCCAUUGAAAUGCAGACGGUGCAUUAUUGCAAGGCGGUGGUAUGAACAUUCCUUCUCAGUUGACGAUUGCUUAUGUUAGAUAUGAUUUAGUAAUAUAGUUAGUUUCUGCAUUGUAGUUUUUAGUUGCUUGUAAUUGGCUACACAACUUCUAAUUGGAUAUUAUGAUUUUUUUUAAUUUUAAAGUUAAUGAAAAUUAUACAAUUGUUUCAUCAAUGGAUAUUCAUUUUUAAUUGCCAUUCAAUGCUUGUUUUCACAUUUAGCAGAUUUUGUUUCAUAAACUGCACUGCAUUUUCCGUUUGUUGCAGUUUCUUGUUUCAUAAUUCGAUUUCAGAAUAAUUUUUUCUAGUAUAUGGGAAUGUUACAACUACUCAUGGAGUUAAAUGUAUUUUGAUAUUAGUUUUAGUACUUUGAUCAUGGCUUGGCCUUUUGGUUUAUUUUCACACAACUCUAGCAGCUGAACCAUUGCUACCCAAGCCUUUCCCAAUAUCUGGAAUAGGAAAAAUAGGACUCCCAUAAAAUUUUCGAAAGAAGUCAGACUUGUAGUAACACUCAACAUAAUCAUAAACUGAAUCUUUUUUUGCUAGAAUUGUAGCCAUGACAUGCGUACAAGGAAAACCAUCAAUUUGCCAAAGACAGCAAGAACAUGUCAUUUGCCCAAGAUCAACCAUCACAGAAAAUCAGCAAAUACUUCAAAAACAGUGAAACUAGAACGGCGUACGGCCCAAGUCCUACUAGCCUCCACGUUUUCCCACAGUCUAGUUUCCUUCUCUAGACACAAAAUUGUUGUCCACUUCUCAACUUCAAUUUGUCGUUGAGAAUUCAAUACCAUCAAUUUCUGUGGAAUCCCUUCUAUCAAUGGUAACACUGACAAAUCUCGAAAUACACCAACCCAGUUAUUAAACUACUCGACUCAACUGUUCGACUUCUCCCCAUAAUGCAUUCCUUUAAAAAAUGCGUUGGCAUAGUGAUCUCUAGACAAAUCAUAUAUAAAUGUCUUCACUUUCAAACUCCCAACAAUCACCAACUCAUCUAUUGCUACUUUAAACUCUUCCUCUGUAACAGCAUAUGCUCAUCUACUAAAUAGAUUGAUAACAUGGUCUUGGAGCAGUUUUCCAUAACUUGACUUCGGGUACUUUGAUAUCAAAUUUUGUUUGAGGUGAUAGUAACAGUAGGAAUGAGGCCAUCUAGGAAACACAGCCCCCAUUGCAUUUAACAAACUUUGAUUACAGCCCAAGAAAAAAGUCACCAUUCUCCCCAUCGGUGGCAAUAUAGCAACCAAAUGUUGAAGAAACCAAGUCCAACUCUCCUCUGUCUCAGAAUCAAUAACUAAAACAAAACAAAAGGCACAAGUAUAAGCAACAAACGGAAACUGCAGUGCAUUCUAUGAAAACAAAUCUGCUCAAAUUUGAAAGGAAACCAAAAGGCAAAUCCAUGAUCAAAGUACAAAAACUAAGUUCAAAAUACAUAGAAGUCCAUGAGCGGGUGUAACAUUCCCACAGACUUGCAAAUACUAUUCUGAAAUUGAAUUAUGAAACAAGAAACUACAACAAAUGGAAACCGCAGUGCAGUUUAUGAAAACAAAUCUGCUCAAGUGUGAAAAGAAAACUAAAGAAAAAGCCAUGAUCAAAGUACUAAAACUAAGUUCAAAAGACAUUUAAGUCCAUGAGCAGUUGUAACAUUCUCAUAGACUUGCAAAAAAUUAUUCGAAAAUCGAAUUAUAAAACAAGAAACUGCACUGUAGUUUAUGCUCAUAAACUCCAACAAACGGAAUUUGCAAUGUAGUUUAUGAAUGCCCAAAGAACAAUUGACAACAUACAAACAAUAUUACACAAAACAGUAAACAUAAUCUGCAAUGCAAAGUACACAAAAUGCCAGCAAUAUUACACAAAACAGUAGUGCAGAUUAAACAAAAAUCCAAUACAGUGCAAUAACUACACCUUGAUUCCCAUUCUUGCCAGAAGCACAAAGAAGAUGCCCAUUGUACUUGCUCUUAAAAAAUAUAGCAUCAGUGAACAACAAAGGGAUGCAAUAUUGAAAUCUAGCAAUUAAAUAGCCAAAUGAUACAAAAAAUGGGCUAAAUCGAUUAAUUCCAUCUUCACUCGCAUAGAGAACCACCGUUAGUUUCCUUAAAGGCAUCCACGUACCACACUAACUCGUUGAAGGACUUCGACUCAUCACCAUGAACGUCCAGUUUUGCUAACUCUUAGAUACUAUAAUAAUCUUUAAACUCGUUUAUAGUCUCAACUGGCUUCAGCUCUAGUUUUGCAUGAAUUAUGUCAACAAAGAGAGAGGACUCCACAUGAGACCUCAUCAUCUUAUUCUUUGAUUCUUGUAUCUGACCCGCACAUGUAUGCACAUUAUUUAAUGUCCGAAUUACAAAACAACCAGUAGCUUCACACCAAGACGCAUAAACAUGCCAACUACAACCCUCCAACUUCUUAUUUCAACAAACAUCAAUCACUUGCUUCUUGUCAUUGCCGGCAUAGAAAAAAUUAAAUCCUACUUCAAGAGCAUACUUGCACAAUUUUAACCGGAAGUCCUCUACACCACCAUCAAACUUCUGCCCUACAUGAUGUAUGUAGUCUCCCAUUCAUUUGACAACAAAGGCUUAGAACUGGCUCUCUUUGAUCUACCCAAAAAUUCAUUUCUGUCUUCAACAGUAUUAGAACACGAUGACUCACCCUUUUCACAUGCUAUCAACUCCUUAUUUCCACAAAAAUCACCAUUAUCCUCACUGCUCCCGCAUAAAUCCUUAACUAAAAUAUCCACACUCUUCGCAUUUGAUAUCGCCAAAUAUGCCAUCAUCAUGUCUAAAUCACUAUUCGUUUCUGGUAAACAACUCGAAUAACCGAGCAGCAAAUACCGUAACGUGAAAAUACCAUAACCAUGGAUGACUUUGCUGAAACUGAAAACAUAAUGGUUUCCAACUUCUAUGUGCACUUGGCUAUGCCACAAACCUCCAUUAGCCUUGAAAAUGCAAACAAAACAACAAACAAAAACAUAAAACAAUUUAAAUCAGUAAAUAACAUAGAUGAGAAAUUUUAACAUUCCCAUAGACUUGCAAAUAUUAGUCUGAAAUCGAAUUAUGAAACAAGACAUUGCACUGCAGUUUCUAGUAAAAAACUGCAACAAAUGGAAAUUGUAGUGAAGUUUAUGACAACAAAUCUGCUCAAGUAUGAAAAGAAACCAAAAGACAAAGCCAUGAUAAAAGUACUAAAACUAAGUUCAAAACACAAUUAAGUCCAUAAGCAGUUGUAACAUUCUCACAGACUAGCAAAAAUUAUUUUGAAAUCGAAAUAUGGAAUAGGAAAAUACACUACAGUUUCUGAUAAAAAAAAUGAAAUAAACAGAAACUGCAGUGCAGCUUAUGGGAAAACAUAUGCUCAAAUUUGAAUAAAAAUCAAAAGGAAAAGCCAUGAUAAAAGUACUAAAACUAAGUUCAAAACACAUUUAAGUCCAUAAGCAAUUGUAACAUUCCCAUAUACUUGCAAUGCAGUUUAUGAAACAAGAAACUCAAAAAUUGCAACAAACAGAAACGACAAUGUAGUUUAUGGUAGAAAAUCAAAAAACUUCGAAUAGAAACCAAAAAGAAAAGCCACGAUCAAAGUACUAAAACUAAAUUCCGAAAACAUAUAAGUCGAUAUAAAUGAAAAAAGGUUCUCAAGUACUCAUACCUCAACACCUAGGACUGCCAAAAAUCUCCCCAACCAAACAGCUGCUCAAAAUCAAAUCUGAUCACAAAACGAAGAAGAUACAAAAUGGCACGCACAAAAUCGCGCCACAAAACUGAGCUCGAAAUAGGAGAACUAAGAUCGAACCAGAGCACAGAAAUCACACGCCAAAACAAACCUUGAUUCUGCAUGCAAAAGAAAAAUUACACCCAAAACAUAAAGAUCAAUCUGAAUAGCACAAAACAUAAUCAGAAUAAAACAAAAAAACGAAGAAAAUCGAACGAAAACCUACCAGCAAAUUGAAGCUCCAAUCGCAGCUAAACGAACUAGAGCUCCAAAACGUCAAACUGAACGAAAACGAAAGAGAAAAGUUCAAAUCACGCGUGAUUUAAAUAGACAGGUGUAAAAAAGUCAUUUACUUUGCAAGUUUCAGAGUUAGGCCAGGCUUUUUAAGAAGAAAGGUAGCAUUGUCUUUUCAGUUAUUAUUUUAAGCUGACCCAACGAAUCUGGACCUCCUCUUUGGCCUAAUCCAAAAUAACAAUUCUUUCCUAGGUAUUAACCUAAACAAAAAUACCCAAUGUCUCAAAUACUAAUUAGUAAAGUUACUUAUGUCUAAUACCUAAUUUUUCUUAAAAUAAAAUAAGUAGUUUGAUGUGUCUAGUUUUUGCUCACCAUUCGUUAUAUCAACUACAAAUAGCCUUAAUGCUUAACAAUUGAAAAACAUUGACAAUAUAUAUAUAUAUAUCAAUAAAAUAAUGAAAAAAAGAUUGGGGAUAAUUACUGGAUAAAGUAAAAGUUGAAUGGGAGUAUUUUUGCUCAUCACUUUAACUCAGUUGUAAUCUCAUCACCCUUCUCAACACUUGACACGUGUCUAUUAACAUAGCCAUGGUUCCAUAAAUACAAAGUAAAGAGUUAACUAUGGUUAUACCAAUAGACAUGUGUCAAGCGUUGAGAAGGUUGGUGAAGGUACACUUUAAGUUAAAGUGAUAAGGAAAAAGUAUUUUGAGUCCGAGCAAGACAUGAAUAGUUGUAUUUUAGAGAGUAGAAAUUUGAGUUUAGCCCCCAUCAUGGUUGGAGAUGACCUUACUUGUCUUCUCCGCACAUAUUGUGAUCAUUAAUAAAUGUGUUUCAUGUGUUUCGUGAGUUUCAUGAUGAGCAAGCACCUGCUACCACUUAAAGUUAUAAUAAAAUAUCAGGCAAUUUUACUGUAAUGACUUGUAUUUAAGGAGAAGCCAAGUUAUACGUUGUUUAACAUUCUGCCUUAUACAUAUCAAAUUUCAAAACUGAUAAGCAUAAGCAUGGCUCUGCACGGUUUUAUUGGGACUCAAAUAGAGCUCAAGUCUCCUGCUGAUAAGUUCUACAAAAUCUUCAAGGGUCAAGCCCACCUCAUCCCAAAUGUUUCUUCUGGCCAUAUCAAAGGUGUUCAGGUGCAUGAAGGAGAUUGGGAAACGCACGGCUCUGUUAAGAUCUGGAAUUAUCAUCUAGGUAAUUAAGUAACUAUAUGGUGAACCCACUUUGGACAAGUUUAAUUAUUUUCUGUUUCGUUGUUAACUAUGUCAUAUGGGUAUGAAAAAAAAAAUCAUAAGAUGAGCUUAUAUAUAUAUUUUUGUUGUGAAAUAAAUGUGACAGGGAACGAAGUUGGGACAUUCAAGGAAAAGGUCGAGUACGACGACGAGAACAAGGCGGCAACUUUGAUUGGAUUGGACGGAGAAAUGUUCAAGUAUUACAAGAGCAUUAAGGGCAUCUAUCAGUUCGCUCAAAAGGGUGAUGUUAGCGUUGCCAACCUGACGAUUCACUAUGAGAAACGGAAUGCGAAUGUUGAAGCUCCAGAUAGAUAUGUUGGUCUCAUGGUUACCCUCGUCAGGGAUCUUGAUGCUCACUUUGCCAAGGCAUAAUCGAAUAUCAAAAGCAAAUAUAUAUAUAUAUAUAUGUAUGUUAAUGCGUGCUUUGUGUGGUUAAUAUUAUAAGUAAUGCUUUGUUUUAUGUGAGUUUUUCUUUGUGGCAUGAAGGGAUUUCAUAUGUGAUAUAUUGUGAUGUAUUAGCUAUGUGGGUUAUCACAUAUAUAAAAUAAAAUGCGUGGUGUGCUAUAUAUAUAUAUAUAUAUAUAUCUCCAGUUCUUGAUCAUCAUUCAUAUAUCAAGUACAAAAUAGACUUAAAAAUCAACAAUAUCCAACUGGUAUAUGUUGCGAGCUUGGAUUCAAAGUACUUAAAAGAUAAAAAAAUCUGAAGUAUGUUGCGUGCUUGGAUUCGAAUUUCACAUUGAACACUUAGCCUUGUAGAUGAAAAAGACACAAGCUAAAGUAGUAGUAAAAAAAGUAGUAGAAGCAGCUGGAAGCUCUUUCCUUCAUCAUUUGCGCUCUCCUUUCCCCUCUUCGUCUCUCUCUUUCUUUAUCUCUCUGCCCCUUCCCUGUGAAAUUGCUGGUUUACUUUAAUAUUAACAAUCGACAUAAAGAAAAGAAAGUGUUGCUGGAUGCGACGAAUGAAGGAUAGAUUCCACAAAGAAAAAAGUUUUCACGUUCUUCCAUUCCAUAAGCAACACUGAAAAAUUCCCUAAUAAUGUAUGGACGAAACUCUCAUGACAACUAAUUCAAAGCAAACACAACUCAACCCAGCUGACAGUGCAAUAAGCAUCCUCCCUCUCAAAACCCACCACGUAACAUAAUUAAAUUCAUUGUUAAGGUUCAUGAAUUAUAUUAUCGAGUUAAUUAAUGCGUGCUUUGU